RNAcentral lists this long non-coding RNA (76471 nucleotides) under Vitis vinifera (wine grape). RNAcentral's name for it is "long non-coding RNA (VVIN_LNC003749)". Lineage: Eukaryota; Viridiplantae; Streptophyta; Magnoliopsida; Vitales; Vitaceae. The record is from RNAcentral.
GCAUUUCUUUCGAGUCCUCACUGCUCCAAUAUGAGACAAAUGAAUCCUGUAUGUUAUACUGAUCCUCAUUGUCUUGAUCUAGCUUGAAAGUAAAGUUUCCAGGUGCCGGGUCAACAGAACUCAGCCAUGAAGUCAAUAUUAAGUUUUCAUCCAUCUUCAUCCCAGGAAGAAAAGUAUCUGUAGGAUGAUCGAAGCUCUCCCAAAGAAUUAUCCCUGAUCUGUUGUCACUCAAAACAAGGUUCCCAGAGUCCAUGAGCUUCACCACCCUCCCUGUUGAUGAAUAUGUUGCAAUAUCAGAAGACCAGUGAACUGUCCCAUUUGCAUCCAAUACCUUGAGCUCACCAUCUUCUUUAAUGGCAAAAACUCCAGAGGGGGUAUCAGAAAGGGGAAGGGGUUUCUUUCGGUUGGCCACCCAUACAACGCUUCGUGGUUUCGACUUGUAAUACCAUAUGCCCACGAAUCUUCCAAUCUUGGAGCUUCCAUUUGGAUUAAAGAAGCCAAGUUCAAAGGUUUUGCCUGCAGAAACAACAGUUUCUCCAUCAUCACUAAGCCAGUCCUCCGGUGUGAUGGUAUCUCUAGCAGAGCAAUACAGGACAGAACACAAGACGAAAAAGAUGGUAGAUAGCAUGUGAGUUGCAGAGACAGGAACCAUGAAUUUUCUUCUUAUCAUUUUGCCUCUUUUUAGAGCUGUGUCCUCAAAUCUAUAGUUUUUAGUGGAGACUUUUCCUCUUGACCCUGAGUGGAGCAAAGUCACGUACUGUUCUUAGUCUUCCUCCCGCAAACCAAAUAAGGGUUGUCCUUUUGUACCCACUAUUUAUUUUGGACCUACCUACCCUCGUUUCAGGACUUUUCUUAAUAGUACGGUAAUUUAAAAAAAUUAUGCUUAAAUUAUUGUAGUAGAAAAAGUUAUUACAAAUAUAUGGUAGUUUUUGCCACCUAGGAGAGAGGAGAUAGGAGAGAAAAGAGAGGGUGAACAGAUAAUUUUUUUUUUAAACCAAAAUCAUCUUUUCAAAUUUCAAAAGACGAAAUCGUCUUUUCAAAAGACGAUUUUAAAAAAAUUUCAAAAGGGAAAUCGUCUCUUUAAGAGACGAGUUCCCAUGAAAAAAAAUAUAUAUUUUUUUUUUAAAAAUUCCCAAAUUAUAAAAAAAAUAAAAAAAUAAAAAAUUCCUCAAGGGAACUCGUCUCUUCAAGAGACGAAUUCCCAUGAAAAAAAAAAAAUCCUCAAGGGAACUCGUUUCUUCAAAAAUAUAUAUAUAUAUAUAUAUAUAUAUAUAUAUAUAUAUAUAUUUAUAUAUAUAUAUAUAUAUAUAUUUAAAAAAUUCCCAAAUUAUAUUUAAAAAAAAAAAAAAAAAACAAUUCAUCAAGGAAACUUGUCUCUUGAAGAAAUUAAAAAAAAAAAAAGAAUUCCCAAAUUNNNNNNNNNNNNNNNNNNNNNNNNNNNNNNNNNNNNNNNNNNNNNNNNNNNNNNNNNNNNNNNNNNNNNNNNNNNNNNNNNNNNNNNNNNNNNNNNNNNNNNNNNNNNNNNNNNNNNNNNNNNNNNNNNNNNNNNNNNNNNNNNNNNNNNNNNNNNNNNNNNNNNNNNNNNNNNNNNNNNNNNNNNNNNNNNNNNNNNNNNNNNNNNNNNNNNNNNNNNNNNNNNNNNNNNNNNNNNNNNNNNNNNNNNNNNNNNNNNNNNNNNNNNNNNNNNNNNNNNNNNNNNNNNNNNNNNNNNNNNNNNNNNNNNNNNNNNNNNNNNNNNNNNNNNNNNNNNNNNNNNNNNNNNNNNNNNNNNNNNNNNNNNNNNNNNNNNNNNNNNNNNNNNNNNNNNNNNNNNNNNNNNNNNNNNNNNNNNNNNNNNNNNNNNNNNNNNNNNNNNNNNNNNNNNNNNNNNNNNNNNNNNNNNNNNNNNNNNNNNNNNNNNNNNNNNNNNNNNNNNNNNNNNNNNNNNNNNNNNNNNNNNNNNNNNNNNNNNNNNNNNNNNNNNNNNNNNNNNNNNNNNNNNNNNNNNNNNNNNNNNNNNNNNNNNNNNNNNNNNNNNNNNNNNNNNNNNNNNNNNNNNNNNNNNNNNNNNNNNNNNNNNNNNNNNNNNNNNNNNNNNNNNNNNNNNNNNNNNNNNNNNNNNNNNNNNNNNNNNNNNNNNNNNNNNNNNNNNNNNNNNNNNNNNNNNNNNNNNNNNNNNNNNNNNNNNNNNNNNNNNNNNNNNNNNNNNNNNNNNNNNNNNNNNNNNNNNNNNNNNNNNNNNNNNNNNNNNNNNNNNNNNNNNNNNNNNNNNNNNNNNNNNNNNNNNNNNNNNNNNNNNNNNNNNNNNNNNNNNNNNNNNNNNNNNNNNNNNNNNNNNNNNNNNNNNNNNNNNNNNNNNNNNNNNNNNNNNNNNNNNNNNNNNNNNNNNNNNNNNNNNNNNNNNNNNNNNNNNNNNNNNNNNNNNNNNNNNNNNNNNNNNNNNNNNNNNNNNNNNNNNNNNNNNNNNNNNNNNNNNNNNNNNNNNNNNNNNNNNNNNNNNNNNNNNNNNNNNNNNNNNNNNNNNNNNNNNNNNNNNNNNNNNNNNNNNNNNNNNNNNNNNNNNNNNNNNNNNNNNNNNNNNNNNNNNNNNNNNNNNNNNNNNNNNNNNNNNNNNNNNNNNNNNNNNNNNNNNNNNNNNNNNNNNNNNNNNNNNNNNNNNNNNNNNNNNNNNNNNNNNNNNNNNNNNNNNNNNNNNNNNNNNNNNNNNNNNNNNNNNNNNNNNNNNNNNNNNNNNNNNNNNNNNNNNNNNNNNNNNNNNNNNNNNNNNNNNNNNNNNNNNNNNNNNNNNNNNNNNNNNNNNNNNNNNNNNNNNNNNNNNNNNNNNNNNNNNNNNNNNNNNNNNNNNNNNNNNNNNNNNNNNNNNNNNNNNNNNNNNNNNNNNNNNNNNNNNNNNNNNNNNNNNNNNNNNNNNNNNNNNNNNNNNNNNNNNNNNNNNNNNNNNNNNNNNNNNNNNNNNNNNNNNNNNNNNNNNNNNNNNNNNNNNNNNNNNNNNNNNNNNNNNNNNNNNNNNNNNNNNNNNNNNNNNNNNNNNNNNNNNNNNNNNNNNNNNNNNNNNNNNNNNNNNNNNNNNNNNNNNNNNNNNNNNNNNNNNNNNNNNNNNNNNNNNNNNNNNNNNNNNNNNNNNNNNNNNNNNNNNNNNNNNNNNNNNNNNNNNNNNNNNNNNNNNNNNNNNNNNNNNNNNNNNNNNNNNNNNNNNNNNNNNNNNNNNNNNNNNNNNNNNNNNNNNNNNNNNNNNNNNNNNNNNNNNNNNNNNNNNNNNNNNNNNNNNNNNNNNNNNNNNNNNNNNNNNNNNNNNNNNNNNNNNNNNNNNNNNNNNNNNNNNNNNNNNNNNNNNNNNNNNNNNNNNNNNNNNNNNNNNNNNNNNNNNNNNNNNNNNNNNNNNNNNNNNNNNNNNNNNNNNNNNNNNNNNNNNNNNNNNNNNNNNNNNNNNNNNNNNNNNNNNNNNNNNNNNNNNNNNNNNNNNNNNNNNNNNNNNNNNNNNNNNNNNNNNNNNNNNNNNNNNNNNNNNNNNNNNNNNNNNNNNNNNNNNNNNNNNNNNNNNNNNNNNNNNNNNNNNNNNNNNNNNNNNNNNNNNNNNNUCAUGUCUUAGCUGCUACACGUAUAUCAGAAUUUCGGGGCUGUUCAGACUUGGGCAAUAUAUGGCCAGUUUAUUCAUCCAACCUACCAGUACUUUCUGGUUAUGGAGCAUCACGAUCAGAUGUUAAUUGUAAGAGCUUUGCGUCCAUUUGACGAGAUUGGACAUGUAAUCAGCAGGAGGGAGAAUUCCGUUAAAAGUGUAAGGAAGUCCAUGAUACAUUGGGAAGGCCUGUAUUACUCAAUCUCCUUAGAUACGGAAUGGUAAAAUAGAAGAGAACAUCUUGUUUAAUAAGAAGAUGGACAGAGAAAGGUAUGAAAGGGUUCUUGAUGCAUAUUCCUUGAAAAAGAACCUGGAGGUUCUCUCAUUUGGUGAUCAGACAGUUAUAGUGCUGUGGAUGCUCGCGCAGGAACCAAUUUCUUUAAAGAAUAUUUGUUGUGUCUCUUAGGUUCGAAAGUAGUGAUUUAUGUUACGCAUCAAGUAGAGUUCUUACCUGUUGCUGAUUUCAUAUUGGUCAUAAAAGAUGUAAUCUUUCUUUCAGAGCAAGAACCCAUGUUAUCCUUUGCUUCAGAAUUACUAGAUCAUGUGGGCUUUCAAGAGAACGAAAUUGUGACAGAGGCUUUCAUAUAGGCACUUACAAGCAAGAAGAUUCUGAAUCUGUAUACUUGGAAGCUUCAGUUUUUAAGGCUCUGUUUCAUUUCAUAUAUUGAGAUCCAUUACCUAGCAUAGAAGAGUUCUUCUACUUUAAGAGGCUUAGUAUCUGCUCAACAGAUUGGUACAGUCCAGGUAGGUCCAGGCAGCUAUGCGAGUCUAAUCUCCGUGAAGAUGCUGCUGUAAAUAUUGUAGCAACUACCUUAGCUUGUGAUCAGAAUAGCACCUCUGUUUCCAGCUAAAAGCUGGAUGUCACAAAUUUGUUGAAAUCUUUGAAAAAUCUGAGAACCGUAGGCCUUUUGUCUGAUUCUCUUUCCAGUAACCCAAUCAGAAAAGGUAUUGGAGCAUGUCAUGGAGUGCAUUGUGCCAGUCUCUGGUUUAUCCAUGGUAGAAAGGCAACAAACUUGAUAAGUGGUUCACGUAUGCAAUGUUUAUAUGCAAUAAACAGAGUGCUAACAGUCUUUGUUACUACUUCUAAACUGGUCCAUUAUGUGAAAUAACCAGCUUAGAUCCAAGAUUUAUAAUCGGUUUGAUUUGGUCAGGAAAGACAAAGUGCUAUGCUCACUAGCUUGGUCGAUUGGCAUUAAUGUUGGCGAAUUUUGGAGCAUUCAUAUAAGCUUUAUAGAGUUUAUGAAACAGCAGUAGCGGCUGGGGAUCUGGAGUCAGUUCUCCAUGUACGAAACGAAAAUGGCAAUUUUUUUUUUGCACACCAGUGGAGAAGGCAAAUUCAAACUGCUCUUCUAAAAAGGAAUUUGUACGAAUCCCAGAAUUCUUUCUUAUGCUGUGCUUAAUAGGUAACAGAAGUGGUUGUGGAACUUGACACUGCAGUAUCAAGAGAAUAAGAGCAUGGAAGAAUGGCUUCAGUUGGUUCUGUCUUGUUAUCUAAGAGUCCAGUGAGUAUCAAAAAGCAAUAAAUUUUGAGAAGUCUUCAUCAGCAGAAUCAGGUCGUCAAUCUUCUUCCUCGACAUAGCUGGAUAUGACAUAGAAGAAAAGAAAGAUGAAAGAGCUGGCACUUGAAUUUUCACAGAGCCCCAUUAUUUAGGACAGCAACAUGUGGACCACCUUCAACUACCUUGACUCCAAUUGAUGGUUCAGAUGAAUAUGAAUUUGUUUCUAAACCCUCUGAGGCAGAAUCCCUCACGUGCCAGACAUACCAUGAGCUUAUUGCUUUAAUUUAUGACUCAAUUGAAGUUGUUAAUUAAGCCUAAACCAUAGUAGCAAUAUGAGGAAACUCUCUGCUAAUGUUCAUGAUUCAUUUCCUGAUUUGAGCAGUCGCACAUCUUUUGCAAAUAAAUUUGCAGAAACUGGUGUACCUAUGGGUAAUAAUGAUAAGUUACAUCACUUCGGUCUGUUAAUAUCUGAGUACAGAGGCUCCCAUAUGAGGUCUAGUCAGUCAUCAAAUCUAUCUACAAAUAUAGGCGAUCAAAGUCACUUCAUAUGUACCUUACAUGAGAGAGAUGCUUUAUUGCCCAGACAGAGUUCGAUAGGUGCUGCGUCCGAUCAAUCUCUUAUUGCAAAGACAUAAUCUGAUGAUUGUUGAAGAAAUAUAUGAUCUAAAUCCCGUGUUCAUCAAAAUGCCAUAGAUGCCCGGCAUUUAUCUCGCAUGGAGCAAGAAUUCAAUAGCUAUGACUUGACAGCAGCAACAAGUUCGCAAUCAGUUUCGAAUCCUACGGAUGCUCAAGCUGUCUUUGGAACCCUGACAAGAAGGAGUAGCUAUUCAGACUGUCUCCAACAAUACACCCAGCGCUGAUAGUUUCUGAUGGAUAACAGAGAUCAGUGCAAGGAAAUGGGAGGGUGCUGCUGCUGUUCUUCUAAGGGAAUUGAACUGAAUGGCAUACCAGCAUACUAUUCUUGCCCAAGAGCAUCAGAAGAACAUGAACUCUUAUCAUCUCGUCAUGGAACAGCCUCCACGCUCUCUACAGGACUCUUAGUUGAUACAGAUCUGGGAACAUCACCUUCUGACGCUUAUAGACCACCUCCUGCACCAAUUCCAUACGAUGUGGAUUGAGGACAUCCUCAAACUUCACCAGUUGCUGAAGAUAGCUAAUGUGGUCUUAUAAUGAGAACUCCCUGCUCCGUAUAAGAGGAAAGUCUUGAUUCAAGGUAGAAGGACGCAUGGUUCAAUCAGUGACUAAGAGAUACUUGGUUUUCGAAACGGCUAGGUCCAGAUUUUGCAGCUGUCGAUAGGGAUGUUCUGGCCAGAAUUGCAUAUUCUAAAUUAUUUGAUUGGGUUGUGGGCAAGACAAUUUGUUCUCCUUAUGACAGAUAGAUUGCAUUCGAAGAUGGAUGAUCUUUUAUAGACUGUGGAUUCUGCCAUUGACCUCCAUAACAAGAUGAUUAAAAAUGUGUACCUGAUAUUAAAACAGAAAUGAACUGGACAGUCCCAGAGAUCAAAGGUAACUUAGCUGAGCAAAUUGAAGAUGCUGGAAACUGCACCCUAGGAGGGAGGCUGCAAGACAAGCUCAGGUAAAAGCUGAUGAAAUUGCAAAGCUGAUGAAAGAAAAUGAGCAGCUAAAAAUUGUAAAUGAGGAUUUUGAAGAGAAAAUCCAAUGCAGCAGAAACUGAGUCUCUACGAGAAAAGCAAGCUGCUCCAGAAUUUCAGAUUGAGAAGUCAAGGGCACAGAUUAGAGAGUUUGAAGAAGAGAAGAAAUGACUGACAACCAAACUACAGGUGGAAGAGAAUAAGGUGGAGAGUAUUAAAAAGAGCAAGUGACAAGCAACACAAAUCGAAGCUUGCCACUGCCAGUGACUCUAAUGACGCUGCUGAUUCUAAAUUCAGGUUAAAAGAUUUAAAUUUGAGAGUAAAUAUAAUGUUUCUCAAUUCAAUAGAACCCACCAGUGGGCUUGCUUAGUUUGACAGAACACAUCAGCAAGUUAGCAUCUGACCAGCAUGAAUAAGAAUCAGUGGGCUCACUUUACCUUGAUUGUCCUCUUGUUGAUGAUCUCCAAGUGAAUCAGAGGUAGCAAGUCCAGGUAUCAGAAGGGUUGGGGUAACUUAACGAUGAGAGCAAGUGAAGAACCUACAGAUUGCCUAAUUGUUUCCAAGAUUACUCACAGUUAUGUUCCAGAUUUUGAAGAAUUCCAUAAGCACUGUGGAGUAGGAAAAGUUGUUUCUGGUUAUGUUUUAAAUGUCAAUAAGGAGCUUUAAGACAUGCCAAUAAACCGCCAAGGCGCCUAAUGAAGGUUGUGACCUAUAUCUAGAUGAUUUUGGGAUGCCCAGUUGCGGCUUCUGAACACAGGGACCUUUUCGAAGAGAAAAUAACAACAAAUUUCCGCAACAACCUCAUCAAUUUCAACAGCAGUUCGUUCCAAGUCAACAUCAACAGAAGCCAUCGGAAUCAAUUCCAGCAGAUCUCCUCUAAAGACCGUUCUAGAGCCCAAUACCAUUUUCCUCUUGCACCCUCCUGUUCUCCUCGUGCUUUUACGUGUUUUGAAUUGUGUUUUCAAAAUCGUUUUCAUCCAAAUAACCCUAACUUUAGGGAAUUACCCCCAAACUCUUUCUAGGUAUAAAAUCCCAGUUUUAACAUGCUAUUUGCUGCCACUUUCCUUCGGGUAUGCACUUUCAACGUUUUAUUUGAUCUUUAACUAUUUUUUGUGUUUUUCUUGAUUUUCAAUAAGCAUGAACAAACUCCAUAAUUCCAAGUCAUGGAAUUUAUGGAAUCAACUCGUGCGAAAUUAAUUAGGGCUUUGAUGGGGGCCCAACAUUCAUGAUAUCCUCUUCAAUAGUUUUUGUUUGACAUUUGAUUAAUUGUGUUUUCUCUUUGAGAUACGUGAGAUUAUUAUGCACCUAUUAUUAAGCAAUCUUGUUUCCCAUAGUGGCGUUUUAGCUUGCUAUCCAGGUACACUCCUUCACACUUAUUUUUGAGAAUUCCAUGGACAUAUGUGUUAUUGAUGACUAUAUCCAUACAUGAUGUGAUUUUUGGAUGUCUUGAUAUAUGCCUGAUUUGCUUGAAUAAAACAAAUGUUGUGUGCUACAUUUCUACACUAACUUUUAUGUUUUAUGAUAGCGCUUGAAGAGUGGUUCAGGUACGCACCUUAACUCUCCUUUAUCGCAAUUUGAUUGUGUUUGGCAUGCCACUCUCUAAAAUCACCUAGCCUUUAUAGGUAUCUAUAAUUAAUGGAUUAAUUGCCACACUUCCCUUAACUUUGUCAGUAGAGACCUUUUUAGGGCUUAGAGGGGUGCUACCUCCUAGAGGUACCUUCCCAAUAAGUAACCUGAUCCCCGGACCUAGACUCGGGUUUCUCAAAGACAUGUUUUUUCCAAAACUAUGGAGUCACUUUUUAGGGUUUUUCUUUCUUGUUUUAUUUUCCGUUUAAAAUAAAAAUAAAAUAGGUGGCGACUCCAACUUUUUUUUAAAAUUGAUUUUUCACAAAUAAAAAGCGAGUCUCGCCGAUCGAGUGGGGACGCACGUGAAAAAUGCGAGUCCACAAAUUGGCGACUCCGCUAGGGAUUUUGAGGAUCAAGCUUGAACAAUAGUUGAGGAAAAUGUGGCGUUUAAUUGGUCGAUUAGUGGGUACCUUUUUUUUUAGGCAAGGUGAUUUGAUUUGCUUGCUUGUUUGGUUUGUUAUCUUAACAUGUUUGAUUGCCUUGGAUGAUCACUUGAUUGUUUUGCUCACUUAGCAUGAUUCACUCUCACAUAUGUUAGAUAGGACUUUGUUUGUUUGAUAUUUAUUUGAUUCGCAUGACUGUUUGAUGUGAUCACUUAACUGUUUAUUCACUUUAGCAUGAUUCACUCUCACAUAUGCUAGAUAGGACUUUGAUUGUUUGAUAUUUAUCUGCUUCGCAUGGCUGCUUGUUGCAUGACAAUCCUUUCUCUUGGAUGUUCGUAUGAUUGCUUGUCUUCGUUCACUAUUUCACUUUAGAUCUUAGGUUUUUCGGAUGCACCCACAUCCUUUAUUAUGCACUUUAGAUUAUCCCUGAGUGUUGAGAGAUGGGAGAGCCUUCACCUUUAAGAAACCCCCUGGGAACGCGAGGAAGUGCAUGUGUGGAGGUGAUGACCACCUUGCAUGGAAGCACCCCGUCUCCUUGGAGGCGUGCAGAGGGUUGCGUACCGUCGGAGGGUACGAUCGCUUCUGCUAGGGAUCCUUUGACCCACCCAUUUUAUCCUAUAGAGCCGCCUCAACCUUGUAGGCUAACCUAGACCCAAUUAAGAAUUCACUCCUACACGUGGGUGCAUCUGUGGACCUUCACAGCUGCCUUGGUCACAAUUGGGUUCAGUUAUCCUCUUCAUGGUCUCCUUUUGGUGUGCUCAGAGAUUGGUACAUGUUUGAGUCUCAAUUGGGCCACCUUUCUGCAUUGUGAUUAGUGUGUUUCCACCUCUUCUGAGCUUCCUUCAUGUCAUUUCUCUUUCCGCGUCUUUGUACCUUAUAGGAAUGUUACUCACUUCAGUUUGGAUUCGACUUUUUAUAUUAGAGUUGGAGAUAGAUUGGUCAAGGUUUCAAAGCAAUCAGGUAUGGAUCCUCAGCAUGAUACAGUUGAUCGACCUACAGUCACCAUGACUCUAUUUAGGAUGCAUUAGCAGGUUUGAGCUAGAUGAUUGAUGGACAGUGAGAUAGAUGGCAUCCAGUUCAAGAUGAGAUGUCGUAUGAUUCAUUACCACCCACCCCCACCACCCAGUUAACCAGUGACAUUGUUGAGGGUGACUUCGUACAUAUGAUGAGUUUAGUGGAUUAUGAGUCAAAGUUUAUCAGAUGAGAGUUCUUAUAGAGGACGUUAGUUUUUCUCAGAUGGGAGAUUUGAUUAACAUGGUUUUUCUUCAUGAUGAGCCUGAGGUAGACGUAUUGGAUGAUAGUUGGAUGUUUGGCACAGAUUAGCCCGAGAUAGUUCACUCUCUUGAUAUGCUUGAGAUCUUCAUUGUUGAGAGUUCAGAAAAGAUUCAGUUUAUUUAUGUUGGGGCAUCCCGCUUAUGUUGAUGAUAUGUUUGAGGACGAUAUUAGCCCGGUUAUGGUCAUGGAGAUUCAUCUAUUCCAGGAGACCCUAGGGACUUACUUGGAAUACACCACUUGUCAUUAGAGAGUUGACCCUAGAGAGGAAAUAUGAUUGACAUAUCUGGAUAGAGACCAGUUCUCAAACCCCACCAAUGUGGAUUAGUUGAAGAAGUAUUACAUUUGAGACCAUGGUCACAGGAUGGGUGGCCAUCAUUUCGGUUAGCCUUACACCUUAUCACCUUAUUGAUAUAUUAAACCAUUGCUAGCCCAUUGAGCCUCACGUGGUAUGUUAUAGCCUUAUUUCUUUCUUAUAGCUUUGAUUACCAUUUCUAUACCCGGGUUGGGGCCCUUUGAUGUAUAUGCAUGCUUUGCUAGGAAAGUCUCAUGAGCUUUAGACUUAUAGGUCUAUCUUCUCAUUUUGUUACCAUCCUCUUAUCACCUUAUUUGUUCUAUUUUAUUAUCACCACAUGUUCAUUCUCUUUCUUGACUCUAUCAUUAUUUGCUUCAUCUUAUCUAUUCUCUUCCUUGGGUUGAUGAUUCUUCACGUCUUAGUGCAAAAAGGGCAGUCAUAUCACUCUAUUUAUUCCAUCAUUUGACAUUGAUUCGGAGAUCUUAGUUUGAGAGGUUGUCUCAUGGGUUGGGGUUCAUGUAUUCAUCAGUGAUUUGAGAGAGUUUAUUCAUUUCUUGUAUCUUUCCCAUUGGAGUUUGACUUAUUGAUGAUCAGAGCAUGCGCCAAAAAAAAAAAAAAAACAAAAAACAAAAAAAAAACAAAAAAAAAACAACAAAACAAAACAGAAAAAAAGAAAAAAAGAAAAAAAGAAGAAAAAAGAGAAAAAAAAAAAAAAAAAGCGCAAUGACAUGUUUAUGUAUGGUAUCUUGCUCCAUUGGGCACUUAUAUCACCUUUUGAGGUCUGUUUACUGGGUAUAUUUGUCAUUGUGGGUUCUUGUGAGAUUUUUAUAUGAGUUUUCACUCCUUGAGCCACUCUUGUUAUGCAUUUGGAGUGUUGAGGGUUCAUGUGAGAGUUUUAUGGUAUCCUAUGCUUCUUGGGCCAUGGUUGAUACGUAUUAGGUAUGAGAGAUGAGUGACCUUUUACUAGGGUCUCCGAAUCAUUGUCUUAUACCCACCAUUCCAUCAUUGGUGAUAUGACUCUCCUUUAUUGUACUAACAUGGGUUGAUCAUCACUCAUUCCACUUUCUCAUUGCUUUCUUUUGUAUCCCAUUACCUCUUUCCAGAUCUUUGUUCCAUCUUUUAUUCAUUCCCUACAUAUUGAUACCCAUUACUGAUUUGAUACCUUCUUCACAUCAUUCACAUAUUUCAUUGAUGGUUUGACCAUUCAUCCUUUCUCUCAUUUCGUUAUCGACAUUCCCUUUGGUUACUUCUAAGUCCAUGACUCAUGAGAUUUUUCUAUGCAUUACAUCUUAUACACGAGGGUAUGGGUUUGAUCAUUGGGUAUUUGAGCCUAGUUUCCCUUCAUUUCUUUCACCCUAUCACCCUAGCCUACGUUACGUCCCGUGUCUUAAGACCACCCUGAGGCCAUGAGAUCAGAUGUUAUCUUUGACAGCCUCUACUUAGGUUGGUGUUUGGGAUUUGGUUGAUAUAUAGAUGUUGUCAUGUUUCUUCUUUUGGGAGAUGCUUCUUUGAUGCUUGGAGGUGAUUUGGUGAUGGAUGUGGAUGAUUGUUUCAUCUUACGGAUGAUAUUUGAUGUUGUCUAGCUUCUACUGUACAUCAGAUAUCCACACUGGGGCAUUUUCCCCUUUCAUUUGGAUGAGAUGAGCUCCUAGUGGAGCACUUUCUUUGAGCAUGGACAUUUUCAUUGAUUCGAGAUCCCUAGUGGAGUAUGUUGAGAUGGUAUUAGUUUUAGUGGAGCAUUGUUGAGUUCAUUGACGACUUUCAUGACCCUAGUGUUUCCAUUUGCGGAGUAUUUCUGAGAUAGACUAGUGGAUUAUUACUGAGUUGGAGGCAGUUUUCAGUGCAGUGUAUAGAUCUGGCAUACUGGGACAUAUUUCCCCAUUUUGAGGUUACCAGAUUCAUGUUGGAUAUAGUCAGGGAUUCAUCAGAGACAUGUUUCUACUUUUGAGAUUACCACAUUCCUCAUCAUUUUGGCUAUUCAUUUGAGAUUAGAUUUAGAGUGUCUCCUUUGAGGCAUUGGUCGAUACAUUAUUCUGACUUCCUAGCAGAUUAUUGUUGAGCUGAGGACAGUUGAUUGAUGAUGUUGGAUUCACCCUUUGGUUGUGCAUUAGAUUAUUCACACUGGGGCAUAUUCCCCUCUCCAUUACGAGAUUUAUUUGGGCAGUGAUAUAAGGAUGGAUGAUUGGUGUCGGUUGUUUAGCUUAUGACUUUGACGUCAGAUCUUAUACUGGGGCAUAUUUCCCCCAUUUUCUUUGAGUAUCCUUGAGAUUGAGACAGUGGCCAGCUUGGUUUUAGAUUGAGUACUAGCCCAGAGCUUCCGACGAUCGACUGUAUCAGGGCCUCCCUACAUGGAUUUGUUGAGAUAGAGAUGGAUCGCAUCAGGUUUCAGCCGAGGAGCGUGGGUGGAUCCUUUAGGCAGAUGUUCAUGAGACAGAUUUGUUUUCAUCAUUGUUACCUUGCAGAUUGGAUUAUCCAGAUAAGCAUCAUUUUAUGCACUUUGAGAUUUGCUUUUAGAUGAGCCACGAUAUACACGCUUUGAGAUUCACCUUUUGAGAUUCGUCGACAGAGCAGUUUUUUUUCAGACACAGAGGCCUCUUUCAGUUUUGACUUUUCAGAGGUUUGUCAUGAUGUAUUGGUUCUUGACCCAUUGCUUCUAGCAGAUGAUUGGUUUACUGGUUGUUUCAGCAGUGUGAGCACCCUGGAUACUGGGGCAUAUUUCCCUUCUUGGUUUCAGUAGUCCGACCCUUGACAUUUUGAGUAUAUGGCUUUGAGCCAAUUUAUUUCAUGUCCACUUUCUAGUUGGUCUUCUCUAUUAUUCCCUUCUAGGCCCUGAGCCUCGUAGCUUUGAGUUAUUCAUUCCUUCUAGACCCCGAGUUUUAUAGCCCUGAGCAUUCUUCUUCCCUUAGGCCCUGAGCCCACUAGCCCUGAGCUAUUUUUUUUUUUUAAGCCCUGAGCCUCGUAGCUGUGAGCUAUCCAUUCCUUCUAGACCCUGAGUCUUAUAGCCCUGAGCUAUCAUUUUUUCCUUAGGCCCUGAGCCCGCUAGCCCUGAGCUAUCAUUUCCUAUAGACCUAGAGUCUUUCCAGCUCUUAGCUGAGCUUUCAUCAUUUGGUCGCCCAUGAGUGGUUUGACCUAGAGUUUGCGUAUCGCAUUCUCCUUCUAGCCGAUCAGUCAUAGAGCCCGGAGCUCAUAGCCCUGAGCUAUUCGUCGACCCAGAGUCAUUUUUCAUCUUGACCCAGAGUCAUUCAUAGCACCCCGAGCCCUGAGCUCACGACCCGGAGUCAUUUGCAUCAUUCACAUCCUUGAGAUGUUUCGUUUUCAUCAUUCUAGCCACUUGUGAGUGGCCUCGACCCGACACCUUGAGUCGGAAAGUAUCCUGAUCGGCUAUCUAUUUAGAGCCCGGAGCUCUCGACCCAGAGUCAUUUUCCAUUUUGACCCAGAGUCAUUCCUUUCCAUUUAGAGCCCAGAGCUCUCGACCCAGAGUCACUUUCCAUUUCGACCCAGAGUCAUUCCUUUCCAUUUAGAGCCCGGAGCUCUCGACCUAGAGUCACUUUCCAUUUCGACCCAGAGUCAUUCUUUCCUAUUUUAGAGCCUGGAGCUCUCGACCCAGAGUCAUUUUCCACUUCGACCCAGAGUCAUUCCUUUCCAUUUAGAGCCCGGAGCUCUCGACCCAGAGUCACUUUCCAUUUUGACCCAGAGUCAUUCUUUCCUAUUUUAGAGCUUGGAGCUCUCGACCCAGAGUCACUUUCCAUUUUGACCCAGAGUCAUUUUCCAUUAUGGUCCAGAGUCAUUUCUUUUCCAUUUAGAGCCCGGAGCUCUCGACCCAGAGUCACUUUCCAUUUUGACUCAGAGUCAUUCUUUCCUAUUUUAGAGCUUGGAGCUCUCGACCCAGAGUCACUUUCCAUUUCGACCCAGAGUCAUUCUUUCCUAUUUAGAGCCCAGAGCUCUCGACCCAGAGUCACUUUCCAUUUUGACCCAGAGUCAUUCUUUUCUAUUUAGAGCCUGGAGCUCUCGACCCAGAGUCAUUUUCCAUUUUGACCCAGAGUCAUUCUUUUUAGAGCUUAAAGCUCUCGACCUAGAGUCGAUUUUCCAUUUCGAGCCCAGAGCUCUCGACCCAGAGUUGGUUUUCCAUUUAGAGCCCAGAGCUCUCGACCCAGAGUCGAUUUUCCAUUUCGAGCCCAGAGCUCUCGACCUAGAGUCGAUUUUCUAUUUCGAGCCCAGAGCUCUUGACCUAGAGUCGAUUUUCCAUUUAGAGCCCAGAGUCGAUUUUCCAUUUCGAGCCCAGAGCUCUCGACCCAGAGUUGGUUUUCCAUUUAGAGCCCAGAGCUCUCGACCCAGAGUCGAUUUUCCAUUUCGAGCCCAGAGCUCUCGACCUAGAGUCGAUUUUCCAUUUCGAGCCCAGAGCUCUUGACCCAGAGUCGAUUUUCCAUUUAGAGCCCAGAGCUCUCGACCUAGAGUCGGUUUUCCAUUUAGAUCCCAGAGCUCUCGACCCAGAGUCGAUUUUCCAUUUAGAGCUCAGAGUCGAUUUUCCAUUUAGAGCCCAGAGCUCUCGACCCAGAGUCGGUUUUCCAUUUAGAGCCCAGAGCUCUCGACCCAGAGUCGAUUCUCCAUUUAGAGCCCAGAGCUCUCGACCCAGAGUCGAUUUUCCAUUUAGAGCCCAGAGCUCUCGACCCAGAGUCGGUUUUCCAUUUAGAGCCCAGAGCUCUCGACCCAGAGUCGGUUUUCCAUUUCGAGCCCAGAGCUCUCGACCCAUAGUCGAUUUUCCAUUUCGAGCCCAGAGCUCUUGACCUAGUGUCGAUUUUUCACUUAUGACCCAGAAUCAUUCUUUCUGUGCAAAGCUUUAAGCUCACGACCUGAAGUUAUUCCCUUUUUGUGAUUGCGUCCCCAUGUUUAGAUCUUACCUCUUCAUGUACUAGGACAAAAUCUCUGGUCCUUCUUUAAUUCUUCGGUAUAGUUCACUUCAUUCUGCUCAUUACUCGUAUUUCUACUCACAUUCUCUACACUCGUGAUCUAUACCGAAGAGGGGCAUAUUUGUAGACCCUCAAUUUUGUCCCUUUAACACAUGUCUUUAAGUUCGUUUCCAGUGCUCCACGGUAGUUCCUUGGUGGCCCAUUACUACUCGUACCACUUACCUUUUUUCUGAGUCACCUCGGAGACUUUGGUUGAGGGAUUAUCUGACCCCUUAUUGUGACCCCUUGGCAGCCCUAAUUUAGACUUAGGCUUUUCUUGUUUUUUUAGGAUAGCCUUUAGAUACACUUGGCCCAUUAGGCACCACCCUAGGCCCGCUUAGUCUCAUCAUAGGCCCGUUUAGGCACACUUGGCCCAUUUGGACAUUUUUAGCGUGACUUGUAUGACUUGCAUGGUUACAUGGCUUUUAGGCUCGGCUUUUGUUUAUUGGUUUAUUUUUUAUUUUUUUUUAUUUUUUUAUUUUAUUUUAUUUUUUUAUUAUUUUUAUUUAAUUUUGUUUUAUUUUAUUUUAUUUUUACCGUUUCCUAAUUUAUUUACUUGCUUAUCUGUUCACUCAAUUAUUUAACUUAGAAAAUUUUCAUGUUUUUGCAAGGAAACUUACUAUUGGAGUUUAAGGAAGGUGGGACUCUCCUUGGAAGGUUUUGGAGGGGAAUUUGAAAUUGGGAAGAUUGCUUUGAUUGGAAGAUUUAAAAAAAGGAAGAGAAGAAGAAAGGAAAUAGGGGAAUUUUCCUUUUGGGAAAAAUUUAGGUCUUGAGGGAAGAUAUAUAUGUGAGAAAAAGGAUUUUUCUGGGGGCGCAGCACUUAUUGGAGUCUAGAGAGGGAGGAGGAGGAAGAAAGAACAAGCAAAAAAGAGGAUUUUUAUCUGGGAAUUAUCCUAGGAGGAAGAAAAAAGAUAGCCAGAAGCCGAGCCAUUGCAACCAAAGCUGUCCAGGUAUGCACCUCGUUGCUUUCGGAAUUCUUACCUAUAUUUGAUUUUUUUUUCCGUGAGUUCGAUUCCUGAAUAUAUAAUUGUUUUGUUGAUUUUUGUGUGGACGAAAAGGGCCACAAUUUGCUUUGUUGAGAUUGGUUACUUGCCUGUUUGCCUUGUUUUGAUUUUGGAUGUCAUUAAUGUCUUCGGAAGCAUAUAUCUCUGUGCCUAUUCCCACUAACCAGAGCCUAUUGAAAAGUCAUGAGAUGUGGUUUUAUUUUCUUUUAAUCUCCCAUGCCUGUUUUCCCAUCGUUUCCGCUAUUCUCUACCAUACUCGUUUUUGCUUUUCUUCCUAUCCGUCCUAUGGCCAUCAAUUCUUCAUAUGGGGGUGAUUCCAAAGCUUGGGCAUGCAAUCAUGAGAUUCAACAAAGAGAACAAACGUUUCAGAAUUCUAGCUUGUCGGCUGUUUAUUCACUUGUUAAGGAUAUGCAGAUUAAGGACAGAUUGAGAAGCAUGGUUCUGGAAAUAGAGGAUCUUUCCGCUGGUUAUUUGGUCUCUGAUAACUACACUUUCACCUUCUGGGUCCGUACCUCCGCUCAGCUAUUGAUGCAUGGGAUCAAUUCGUUUGUACAGGGUGCCGUUCUGAAAAGUGGGUUCAAGUAUGACUCAUAUGUUCAAAGUGGUUAGUUUACAUGUAUACAGGGAUUGGGUGGUUUGGCUGAUUGCUAAUGGAUGUUUUCAUCAAUUUGUGAGCCAAAUUUGGUGUAUCAGAUUGUAAUGGUCAAUGCAUGUGCCAAGAUGGGAGAUCUUUACCUUUGCUCGGAAGUUGUUUGAUAAAAUGCCCCAUAAGAACCUUAUUACACGGAAUGUAGUGAUUUCGGGAUAUGUGCAAUGUGGGUAACCAUGGAGCGAGAAUCACCAUUGGAAAGAAGAGUAUCGACCACUUAAAAGAGAGAAGCACCAGAAUUUCAGAGAGAGGAUGAAGAUACCUCAUGAAAAUAUACAGUGGUUUGGAUGAGCCUGAUGGUCUAUCUGGCCUAGCAUGUUUACACACAUCAUUAAGUUUGCAAGACCAGCUUUCUAAUCAACAAGAAAGCAGGAAACUGGGCAGAAGUUUUAACUUCUUCUGAGUAGGCUUUGCAGAUGGAGCCCACCUCAGUGCAGAGGCAUUCAGAUGUUCUUAAUUGUUUACUGACAUGUGCCACUUCCAGACUAUGGUCCAUUGUUGUUACCUUUCUAAAGGUUCACUCCUAAAGAAGAAAUUUCUCUUGACAUUACUGUACUAGAAGCCCCUCCUAACAUCAUUAUCCCUUCGGAUGUCCCAAAUAUCCUGCUGGUAAAUCCUAUCCUAGUGUAAACUAUGGUGUCUGCUAGAUCUGUUUCUCAUGUCUUAGCUGCUACACGUAUAUCAGAAUUUCGGGGUUGUUCAGACUUGGGCAAUAUAUGGCCAGUUUAUUCAUCCAACCUACCAGUACUUUCUGGUUAUGGAGCAUCACGAUCAGAUGUUAAUUGUAAGAGCUUUGCAUCCAUUUGACGAGAUUGGACAUGUAAUCAGCAGGAGGGAGAAUUCCGUUAAAAGUGUAAGGAAGUCCAUGAUACAUUGGGAAGGCCUGUAUUACUCAAUCUCCUUAGAUACGGAAUGGUAAAAUAGAGAGAAGAUGUUUUAUCUUUUGAUUUUCUAUGAAAUUUCCUUUAAUUGGACUGUUUGUUUAUUUUCUAAGAAUAUUAUAGUAUGUUGUGAUGAAGAUAUUGGUUGGUCAUAUUUGGAAAAUAAUUUUUGAGAAAAUUAUUCUCAAUAUUGUCAUCUCUCGCAAAAGGAUUAUUUUUGCUUUCUUUUCUUAUUGUUUUUAUAUGCAUUGACCAAACUUUGGAGCAAUUUGAAAUUGAUGAUGAAAUUUUCCUUUCAAGGUUAGGAAAUUUCUAUAAAAUCCUUUUAUUACAAAUUUUUUUCCAAUUCUUUCCAUAAAACUCUUCAUUUUCUUCAUUUUUCUUUUUUCUGAAAAAGAUGUUUGAUAAUUUAUUGAUCUAAAGAAUAUUAAAAGUAAAAAAAAUAAAAAUAUUGAAUAUAUUUUCCUUUGAUGUUUUUAAUUUUUUAUUAUUUGAACACAAUUUCAUAUCCAAUUUUUUUAUUAAUUAUUUUAAUUAGAAAAAAGAAAUAUCAAUUGGAGUUUUGACUGAAAAAUCAAUAAUUUUUAUGAAAAACUCUUUAAUUCUUUCUCAUACUAUUUUUUCUCUUAAUAUUUUUUAAUAAUGAAUUAGGUUUUUUGUCUUAUAUACACAAUUUUCAUGCUUGUUAUAAUAUCAUGUCCUAUCAUAUUAGUAGUUGAAAACAUUUUGAUAUUUUGUUACUAAAAUUUUAUUUUAUGUAAUUGAGAUGAAAUUUAAUGGACAUUGUUAUUUCAUAAAAUGAACAUUAAAAAAAUAUUGAAAUUAAGAAAAUCCUUCCAAGAAAUAUAUAUAUAUAUAUAUAUAUAUAAUGUUAAAAAUGAUUUUUAAAAACAUAAUGAAUUAUAAAAAAUAAAUUUAAAAAGUGCAUAUUUUAAGUGGAAGAUUAGUAUUUUCUAAAUUUUAGAUUUAUAUUUUGAUUUGGUAGUUUUGAUUUAUUUUUUAUUUUCUUGAAUUGUUUUUAUUUGAAUUCAAAUGUGACUACUUUGUUAUGAGAUUCAUUAAAGAGAUAAUUGUUGAUUCUAUAGUUAUUGCAUUAAAGGUUUUACUCAUUUAAAUAAUUGCACAUAGUUUCAUACUUCCAAUUAUUGUGAUAUUAAUGUUAUUAUCAUUUGAUUUUAGUUUGAUGAUAAAAAAAAAACAUAUUCUUAAGUAGAAUGUGAUGAAAUUAGAGGAGAAUUGACUACUUUUAUAUUAUAACUAAUCAAGAAUCAUGUUGAUGUAUCGUGAUCAUGCAUGGUGAGUCCCUUAGUUGUUAUAUGAAUUUUCCAUUGGUAUUGUAUAACAUUACUUAUUCUUUACAAAUUAUUUUUAUAUCAAAAUGGAAAAAAGAAAAAAGAAAACAUUAGUAGUUAGAUUUGUUUAUUUUUUAUAACAUUAAUUAAUUUUUAUUUUUAAUAAAAACUCUAAAACUCAUUAAACUAUGAAAUGCAAGUAUACACUCUUGGAAGGACAGUAUGAAGAAUAAAAAGAAAGGAGAAAGAGACAACAAGAUUUUGGGUUUUUAGAUGUAACUUUUAUGCCAUAUAUUAUAGGACAUAAACGUUACUUUAUUUGGUAUCGAGAAUUUUGGGUUUUUGGAUGCAACACUUGUGUCAUUUUAUGGUUAGCCAGUUUUAUGCAUAUGAAUUGUAGGUAUACAUGAAUGUUGGGAUGCUUAACAUUUCUAUGUCAUGUUUUAAUGUGCAUUCACUUUUCCUUUUUAGUUUUGGUGGGUUUGAUGUACUAUCAUUUUGUGAACAUUUGAUAUACAAAUAUUAUUGGAUGAUUUAAUGUAUUACAGGUUGAUCUUAUUUAUUAAUAAGCAUUACAAAAAUCUAUAGGCUAAUCAAUAAAAAACAACCAUAUAUUCCAUAAUCAUUUACAAUGAUGUGACACCAUAACUCAAAGGUGAUGCAUUUAACGUGGCACCAUAACUCAAAGGUGAUGCAUUUAAUAUGACACCUUAUAUAUCUCACACAACUCUAUAUCAAAUUAAGCAUUACUAAAAAUAUAUGGUGCCGCUUCUGAAUGUGUCACCAUUUAUCUACAUUGGUGUCGCUUCCAAAUACAUCACCAAUUGGUACCCUCUAUGGUGUCAGUGGAUAAGGUGACGCUAUGUUGUAGUGACACCUUAUGUUUAUAGUGACUCAUUAUAAAUGUCACCAUAUAUCUUUUUCCUUGUAGUGUAUUCACCCCCUCCCCCUCUAGGUGUAGUCCAUUAUUGAGAUUCACCUUUUCAUCAUCCAUCCACAUGCCAGGAAGAAAAGUAUCAGUAAGAUUAUGGAAGCUCUCCCAAAGAAUCUCCCCUGAUCUGUUGUCACUUAAAACAAGGUUCCCGGAGUCCAUGAGCUUCAUCACCAUGCCUGUAGAUAAAGAUGUCUCAGUAUUAGAAGACCAAUGAACUUUCCCAUUUUCAUCCAAUAAUUUGAGCUUACCAUCGUCUUUAAUGGCAAAAACUCCAGAGGGGGGAUCAGAAAGGGGAAGGGGGCUGUCUUGGUUGGCCACCCAUACAACUCUUUGUGGUUUCAACAAGUAAUACCAUAUGCCAAUGUAUUUUCCAUUGUUGAACCUUCCAUCCGAAUUAAAGAAGCCAAGUUCAAAAGUUUUGCCUACAGAAACAAGAGUUCCUCCAUCAUUUCUAAGCCAAUCCUCUGGUGUGAUGGUAUCUCUAGCAGAGCAAUAUAGGACAGAACAUAAGAAAAAGAUGGUUGAUAGCAUGUGAGUUGUAGAGACAGGAACCAUGAAUUUUCUUCUUAUCAUUUUGCCCUCUAUUGUUGUUAGUCAAAGAACCAUGAAGAGUUGCAGAAACAUGAACCACGAAUUUUCUUCUUAUCAUUUUGCCCUCUAUUGUUGUCAGUCAAAGAACCAUGAAGGGUUUGCUACUGUUGUAUUGCACUCUCAUUUUUAAUGGAGACUUUUCCUUUUGACUCUUGAGUGGAGAAAAUUCAUAUCAGUAUUCUUAUCUUGAUUUUCCUUUUUGAUGCAUAGCUUUCAUCUCUGGACUUUUGUGGCAACUUGAGUCUUUAAGAUGGCAACUUUAAUAUGCUUCCUAGUGUCUUCCAAGUAUUGACGUUUUGUAUGCAUCACCCUCCUCCUUCUACACCAAUUUGUUUCUUUGUAUGUAUAGUUUUAUCUCUUCUAAGCAAUAAAGCAUAUGGCAUCAACCAAUAAAUUUUUCUGUACUUUCUCCAAUUUGGAGGAGCUUCGUAAUGGGACAAACAAGAAAAAUUAGAAGUUUAUUUGGCAAUGCUUGUAGAAACAGUUUUUCAUAACAAUGCUAAGAAACAGUUCUCAAAUGUUUCGACUAACUCAAAUAUAAGAACUAGUUUUCUUUGUUUAUUCUCGUACGUACAAAGCGAAAGUUUAAAAAAUAUUCUUUAUUUUAUGAAUUUUUAUCCAAUGAACUCCAUAAAAAUGAAAAAAAUUACAAACACCUCAAAAUGAUUCUAAAAUAUAAUUCAUCUGCAUAACAAAUUUGGCAAAAAAAAAAAAUCAUUUUUCAUCAAAUGUCUAUCAAACGUGUUUUCUAAUUUACAAAACAAUUUUCUGUUUAAAUAAAAAAAUCUAAAAUAACUACUAAACAUACCCUGAUUUUUGUUUUAAGCUUUUUUCCUUCUCAUGUCUUCUAAUUGCCAUGCAAUGAAUUAUCCACUUCAAACAUUUUUGUGCCAAAGGUAAAGCAAAGGAGAGAAUUACUAAAACAAACCCAGGAAAAUUAAGAAUCAAAGGACAAAAGGGGUUCAAGGAAGUGAUAAAUUUUCUCAAUGAAUUAACUUCACUAAUUGCUCAAAGGCAAGUUGUCAAUUGUUACAGAAUAGUGAAUAUAGGAAAUAAGAAAAACAAAAUAUGAACAUAUAGAUUUGUGUGAAAAAUCCUAAACGAGAAAAACCACGGACAGAUGAGAAGAAGAUCCACUAUAUCAAAAAUUGGUAUAAGAGGAGAGAGUUACGAGCGUCUAUAGCAUAACCCUAAAAAUACAUCAUCACAUAUACACACACAUAUGUAUAUAUAUAUAAAGCAGGUUCAUACUUUUGAAUUCAUUUAAUCUUUAUAUAAUGAAGGAAAGUAAAAUAAAUUAGAAAAAACAUAUGAAAUAAUUUAUUAACUUCGAAUUUAUUUUUUUAUUUUCUUUUGUUUUUUCCUUUCUUCUAUUUUUCCUCUCUAUUUUUUUUUUUCCAUAUUUUGCCUUAUAUUUUUUGAGAACCAAAUCUAGUCUUGAAGUUUCUUGGAAACUUUGGACUUUAGAAAAAACUUAACCUUUUUUUCUUGGGAAUAAUUUUCUAGAUUUGAGGUACAUUAUCUUAGGGGGGUACUAAGCAUGUCAAAAUACUUUCAAAAUCUAACUCCUAUUUUUUGGAAAGUUAUGAAUUAAUAUUUCUAUUUUUUUUUUUUUUUUUACUCUUUCCAAAUCUAAUUUUACUAGGAACCAAAUUUGUGAAUUUUUGCACAAAAUCCUAUCCAAGAGAGGAUCUUUUAGAAAUCUCAUCCAUUCUAUAUUUGAUUGGUAGAGAAUUAAAACCACGGUUGUGCAAAAAGCAUAUGAACAAAUAAAAUUAGACCAAGAUAUAUAUCUAUAUAUCUAUAUAUAUAUAUAUAUAUCAAUGAUUCAACUUAGAAGAAUAAUGCAUUAGAUUUCUACACUUUGAGUAGUUGCCUUGAUUAAGUCCAAUUACUAGAAGCCAAGGUCAAGGUCAUCGAAGUUUGUCCAUUCUCUUUCAUAAUUUCUUUUUUCCUCACUAAAGGAGAGAAUAUCUCUUUUACAAAUCUUGUCUAUUCUUGAUUGAUUUGGUAGAGAAUUUAAAAAAGGGUUGUGCCAAAAGCAUGUCAACAAUUUAAAAUGGACCGAGAGACGAAGCUUCUCAAUGAGUGGAUGUAUAUCUUUGUCAAUCCUUCAACUUUGAAGAAUAAUGCAUUAGACUUCUAUGCUUUAAGUAGUUUCCUUGAUUGAGUCCAAUUAUUAGAAGCCAAAGUCAAAGUCAUCGAAGUUUGUACAUUCUCUCUUGUGGUCCCAUGGUAUUUGCUCUUUUUUACCUCAUUAGAGGAAAAAACAUUAACACAGCUUCAUGUGGGAACCAAGCUUUCUUUUAGCAUCCAUGAUAGUUUUUCUUCCCAAUAAUUAGAAAAAGAUUCAUGAGGACCCCAUAUGAGAACUAUUAUUGGUGAUUGUAUAUAGAAAUAAAGAGAAUUCAUUUAUCCUAUAAAAAACAACCCCUUCCUAACGAUUAUAUAAUUUAUUGGUAACAAUGUGAUAGAAAAUUUUGAGACACAUAUUAUAGAUGAAUCUUGGUUAUGGAUUAUAGUUAGAGGGGGUAAAUAGUUAUUUNNNNNNNNNNNNNNNNNNNNNNNNNNNNNNNNNNNNNNNNNNNNNNNNNNNNNNNNNNNNNNNNNNNNNNNNNNNNNNNNNNNNNNNNNNNNNNNNNNNNNNNNNNNNNNNNNNNNNNNNNNNNNNNNNNNNNNNNNNNNNNNNNNNNNNNNNNNNNNNNNNNNNNNNNNNNNNNNNNNNNNNNNNNNNNNNNNNNNNNNNNNNNNNNNUUUAAGUGACUUGAAAAGCUUGAAGAAGGGCCUUGUGAUUCCAUAAAAGCUUAGUAAUGAUCCUCAAAGUUCAAAUGCAAGCUUAUGUCUAUUUAAUAUGUCUUAAAGAAUUAGUACCACAUAAAAUGAAGUGAUGUCUAGUGUCUAUGUGUUUUGUCCUAGAGUGAAGAACAAGGGAAUUGAAGUUGCUACUUGCACUACUAUUAUCAUCCAGUACAAUCAUGAUUCCUUGAUCUAUUUCAUAAUCACUUUACAAUUGCUUGAUUCAAAGAAGUUAGGCACAAGAACUACCAAUUACAUAUUCCACUUCAUCUAUGGAUAGUCAAACAUCAUUUUGUUUCUUACUCAUCUAAAUCAAGAUGUGAAAUAAAAAAAUGUAUACUUCAAUUGCAAAUAAAGUGGACAAUGUUCCCUUGCUUUUUAAUUAUGAGAGCUAGCCUCACAUGAGCAUUUGGUUUAGAACUAGGUAAUCAUUGAGUCAUCUCCACUAUCUAAUUAAGCCCUUGAAGUCCAAAUACAAGCGAUGAGGUUUGACAAUUUUAUGCUAUGCAAUUAAUGAUAAUGUAGAGAGGACCAAAAAAACAGAAGAGCUUCCUAUUGACACUCAUUAGGAAAAAAAAUUACAUUGAAGCAUAAGAAUAAAUACUCCAUAAAAUUCAAUUUUAAUGAAAUUAUAUAAUACAAAUGAAAAUGAUGUUGUUAAAGAGCAUGGUAUAUAUUGUGAACUCAAAUUCUACAAGUUAACCUUUUAGAAAAAUUGGUAAUUGAGUAGAGCUUGGUUUGACGGGAGGUCAUGUGUUCAAGAGUCGCUUCUCCCCAAUUUGCAUAUUUAUUUCCUCCUAGGCUACCAAUGAUCUCAUUCUUGGAGCAUGUGUUUCUGGUUUGGUAGAAGAAGCAGCAGCCCUACUAUAGAACAAUGGAAGAAGCAUUGGAAUCUUUGUCCCUUCUUCAAGGUCUUUAGAUUUUUUCAAUUUGUUUUCUUUUCAAUUCUCAUGCAUACAUCUAAUUUUCCACUUCCAUAAUAUUUCAACCUCUGGAUGUGAAAUAGUAUUUGUAGAUCAAUCAAAAGUAUUCCAACGUAAUAUGUCACUAUAUAAUAAUCCAAUAUUUCAACCUCUAUAUCUGAAAUAGUAUAUGUAGAUCAAUCAAAAGCAUCCCACCAUGUAUAUUCAGCUAAUGUAAUCGCUACCACCAACAAAACUAAUUAUUGGUUUCAUUUUAAGAUGUUAUAGCUAAUAAAUCCCUACUUUCCUUACCAUCAAUUACUCAAUAGAUAUCAUGCUUCAAUUUAUUCCUAAUUCCAACGGUAAAUCACUGGUAAUAGAAGGCAUGAUAUACAUAUAUAGGGUCAUUUCUUUGAGUGACUUUACUCAAAAGGAUGGUCUUGAUUACAACUAGCAAAUUCUGUUUAUAAGAAGACCCUAUACAAAACUCACAUGGCUAUGAUCAUUACUUGAGUCACUAUCACACAGAAUUCAUACCAGUUUUGCUUACAAAUUGUUCUUAGGAAGAACAUAUUCCAACUGGGGGCUAAUACAAGUAGAGGUUCCAAGCUACAGACCAAGAAGGUAUGUACCAACAGAUACCUAGCUAGGAUUGCUUCUUCUAGUAACGGUUGGUUAUUAGCACAUAAAAAUGUGAGCAGGCAACUAAGUUGGAACCUUAUAGACACCGUUAGUCUCCCUAGCUUAUGAUAAAGAAUCUUUAAGGCCAUUAAGUCAACAGUUCACACUUACUAACUAGGUUUUUCUCUUUGUCGUGACUUUUUUUUUUCUUAUGCUUUUGGUAGAGCCUUGGUUAACACAUAUGCAAUUUGAUCCUCAAUCUUGCAAUAAAGCAGUUUAACUUCACCAUCCUUUUGUUCUUCUCUUAAGUGAUACAACUUGAUCUUGAAAUGCUUAGUCUUGCCAUGAAAAACAUAAUCAUUUGAAAUUGCAAUUGCAGCUUGGUUAUCUACAUGAAUCUGUGUUGGCUCAUUUUGCUUCAUGUGUAGAUCUGCAAGUAUUUUUCUGAUCCAAAUUGCUUGAUUUACAGUAGCAUUGGCUGCUAUAUAUUCUGCAUCUGCUAUACUUUGAGCUAUCACAUCUUGCUUCUUUAAGGACCAUGAAAAAAUUCCAAAUCCAAAGCUGAAACAAAAUCCUGUUGUACUUCUCAUGUCAUCAAUAGAACCUGCCCAAUCACUAUCAGAAUAACCAUGAAGUUUAAAAUUCUGAUAGUAAGAAUAUUUAAUGCCAUAAUUUGUUGUGCCCUUGAUAUAUCUUACAAUCCUUUUGGUAGCUUGAAAAUGCACUUCACUAGCACAAUGCAUGAAUCUUGAAAGCAAGCUUAAUGAAAACAUUAUGUCUGGUUUGGUGGCUGUAAAAUACAUCAAGCAACCAAUCAGGCUCCUGUAUUGGCUUUCAUCCACUUUUUCUGCUCCAUCAUCUUUGCUAAAUUUCUCCUUCUGAUUCAUUGGUGUGCUGGUCCUUUUGCAAUCUUCCAUGUGAAAUUUGUUAAGUAUUUCCUUUGCAUACUUCUUUUGGCUUAUGAAGACUCCAUCAUGAUCUUGCUUCACCUCCAUACCUAGAAAGUAGGACAUCAAGCCAAGGUCUGUCAUCUCAAAUACUUUGAGCAUUUCAGCUUUAAACUCUUUUACCAGUUUCUCAUUGCUACCUGUUACAAACAGAUCAUCAACAUAAACAGAAACUACAAUUAAGUUAGCAUCUGUUCCUUUUAUAUAUAAUGUAGCUUCACUUGGACUUUUAACAAAUCCAAGACUUUGAAGAUGUUCAUCAAUCCUGCUGUACCAGGCCCUAGGAGCCUGUUUAAGACCAUAUAAGGCCUUUUUCAACAAGUAGACCUUCUCCUCUUGUCCCUUGACUUGGAAUCCCUCGGGCUGCUCUACAUAAAUUUCCUCUUGAAAAUAACCAUUUAAAAAAGCAGAUUUUACAUCCAACUGGUAAGUCAUCCAUCCAUUUUGUGCUGUCAAAGCAAGCAACAUUCUGAUUGUAUCCAAGCGUGCUACUGGAGCAAAAGUUUAUGAGAAAUCCACUCCAAACACUUGACUAUACCCCUUCAUAACUAAUCUAGCUUUGUAUUUAUUUAUAGAACCAUCUGUAUUAAGUUUGGUUCUAUAAACCCAUUUGACUCCAAUGACCUUUCUGUGUUGAGGUAUGUCCACCAACUCCCAGGUGUCAUUCUUUUCAAUCAUUCUAAGCUCCUCUUUCAUUGCUUCAGUCCACUUGUCAUCCUUCUCUGCCUCUUCAAAUUCUGCAGGCUCAAAAACAACAACAUUACUUCUUUCAUAAACAUCAGAUAAGGACCUUGUACCUCUAACUAGGGCAUCAUCUAUGUUUUCAUCAAAGUAUUGCGGAACCUCUGGUAGUUGCAUCUUUAUUGACUCCUCCCAAUUCCAUUGUCUAUCCUCUAUGAACUUGACAUCUCUACUUACAAGAAUUUUUCCAUUUUGUGGUUGGAAAAUUCUGUAAGCCUUGGAAGAGUUGCUAUAUCUAAUGAAAACUCCUGGUUCUGCCUUCUUAUCAAGUUUGUCUCUUUUCACCUGUGGCACAUAAGAAAAACAAAGACAACCAAAAGUUCUUGGAUUCUGCAAAUCUGGUUUAUAACCAAACCAGGCUUCAAAUGGAGUUUUUUUUUUUGCAAAACUCUAGUUGGCAGCCUAUUCAGCAAAAAACUGCAGUGUUUGCAGCCUCUGCCCACAAUUUCUUUGGCAACUCCUUCUCAUGUAGCAUACACCUUGUCAUCUCCAUAAUACUUCGAUUUUUUCUCUCACUUACUCCAUUUUGUUGUGGAGUGUAAAGUGUUGUGAGUUGGUGCUCAAUACCGGCUUCUUCAUAGAACUUAUCAAAAAUUUCAUUUGUGUAUUCUUUCCCAUUAUCUGACCUUAUCUUCUGCAUCCUGCAACUGCUUUGAUUCUCCACCCAUGCUUUAUAUUUCCAAAAUACAUUAGGAACCCCAUAUUUGGAUUUGAGGAAAUAAAUCCAACAAAAUCUGGUAUAAUAAUCAAUAAAUGCAAUGUAGUACUUAUUACCAUUUAAAGAUGGUGUUUUCUGAGGUCCUCCAACAUCUGUAUGUACCAGUUGCAGCUUGUGCAUUGCUCUCCAUGUUGUUUGAGGGAAGGGUUUUCUAGUUUGCUUUCCAUAUUGACAAGCCACACAAUCAGCUAGCUUGUCUUGCAGCAAUGGCACACCUUUCACCAAAUUAUGUUUCUGCAUAUAUAGAAGUCCAACAUGGUGGAAAUGCCCGAGCCUUCUGUGCCAUAAUUUUGCAUUGCGUUCAAUGCUUGAAAAUGCUAUUUGCUCAUCCUCCAUUAGAUUUAGAGCAAAGCUUUUUGCUCUCAUUUUCACUUUGAAUACAUCUCUACCUUUCGCGUCUUUGAUCAAGCACCAUUUGUCUUCAAAUAUGACUUUGAAACCUUUUUCAGUUAGCUAUCCAACACUAAGCAGGUUUUGAUCAAUGUCAGGCACAUAUAAAACAUUAGUAAUAUACUUCAAACCUAUUAAGCUUUCUAUAGCCACAGUUCCUUCCUUUACCCUUAACUGAAAUAAAUUCACCAUUUCCAAUUUUUACCUUGGAGAUAAUAGUUUUAUCAAGCUCCUUAAAGAGCUCUUGGUCAUUGGUCAUGUGGUUUGUGCAGCCACUAUCAAUCAACCAAGAAUUGCUAGAGUUGUUACUUGUUGUGAAGCAUGUUGCAACAAAAAGUUUCUCUUCUUGAUGUUGCUUAGUAGAAGCUGUAGGGACUCCUCCCUCCGAGAACACGUGGCACACAUCUUACAGUGACACGUGGCACGCAUCUUACAGUGACACGUGGCACGCAUCUUACAGUGACACAUGGCACGCAUUGUCAUCCGAGUCAUCCUCAUCCGGAUCUUCCUAUAAAGCACACAUGGCGCACUUUUUAUCCGGACUGCCUCAAGGAAGGGCAAACGACGCUUACAAAGCAUAGACAUCCGGACGACUUCCAUUAAUGCGUCCGCUCCACAAUACAUCCGGAUAACCAACAUGGACUAUCCGGAUAUGAUUGUCCGGAUCAUUAACUAAAGUAAAGCGAGUCUUACACUGAUUCGAUGCCCAGUCGGGUCUUUUAAUCAAAAACAUUUAUAAAACCUAUGACCUUAUACUGGCGUAGCAAAGCUACUAUAGUAUAGUAGUUCUAGGGUCGAACUCAGGGAUGAGUUUUCACUCUAUCAGUGACAGACUCUAAAUUAGAAAUUGAUUCUGAUGAUUUCCUUUAGCACAAACUUGAAAUUUAAAAGAAAAUAAAAUUGUUUUGAAAGUGGUGAUUUAAACUAAACUCACAUAGAACUAAGUAAAAAGUGUAAGAAAGAAAGUCUCCCGGAGCUGAAGGUUGCUAGGUUCAAGUGCCAGAUGCAAAGUGGAAAAUUCCGGAUUUUUCUCCUCGCAUUGGGGAUUUAACCUAUAGUUAUUUCCCGAACCGGUAUAGGUUUGACAAUGAAGUUUUAAUCCAUAAAAAGUCACUAGAGAUGGUAGUCAAGGUCCAUUAAUGGCUUAAGACACUAUGGGCUAUCACCUUGAAUCACUUUCCAAUGGCUCGUACAUGAUAACUAAUGGACUGAUAUGGAUCUAGCAAUAAGCAUCCNNNNNNNNNNNNNNNNNNNNNNNNNNNNNNNNNNNNNNNNNNNNNNNNUUCCAAUGGCUCGUACAUGAUAACUAAUGGACUGAUAUGGAUCUAGCAAUAAGCAUCCACAGAGACCUUAAACUUACCAUGUAUUGGCCAGUCAAAGUGAUUCAAAGGAAUUUAAGGCAAAACCUUGGCUUUAUAAACCAUUUAUGGACUCCAACUACCUGAAUUUAAUGCACGAAAACUUUCCAUGUUUUAAUCUGGACUUUUCACCUAGCUUCCUUUACUCCAAGAAACUAAAUGUUUAGCCUCUCAUCCUCUGGGAAAACAUCCUCAGAGGGUGUUUGGCUUACAAGAAAAUAGAAAAUAGAAGAGAGAAAAAGAAAACAAAAGAGAUCUCUGUAUUUCACUAAGUAUCAAAUUUACAUUAGUUGGUCUCCUGGAGAAAGCUCCGAAGCCGAUUUUCAGUGAUUACAAGAGAAUUUAUAUAGGAAGGUAAUUUUACCCUUCCUUGGAUACUUCCUAGCUAAGGAAUUACAUGAGUGGUUGAAUACAAGGAGAAAAUGGAAAUUUAGACACAAAAAUAUCAGAAGAAAAAGAGUCGGCAAAAAUAUCCAAUUUUCGCACGCUGGAGUUCCAAUUUCGCACCUUGGUUUGAGGUGUGCGAAAUUCUCGCACAGUGGACUGAGGAAUUCGCACCUUGCACAGUGGUGUGCGAAAUUGUCCCUCAGCUUGAUGCAGUUGUCUUCCAAAGGCCAUAUCUUUCUCAUUUCAGCUCCAAAUCAUACAUGGUUUGAACCGUUGGAUUCUUGACUUUUGGAGCUUUGAAAUGGUAUAUAGAAUGUAAAAAAUGGACUUCGGAAAGUGCUCCAAAAGUGCGAUGAAAGACUGAAGCUGUGUCCCCUAUUUUCAUCCCCUGUUUUCCUCUUCUCCAUUGUUUCUUCCUUGUAUACUUUGAACGAAUAAGGCAAAGGAUUAUGAGGCUCCAUAGCUUGAUUUCUUCAUAAAUUUAAGCUUUCAAAAGCUUUGCCAUGAACUAUAAAUAGCUCUCCCUCAUUCUUAAAUUGCUUUGGUGAGCAUAAAGCUAUCAAAAAGAACCAAAACUUAACACAAUUGUUAGAAACGAUUGCAAGGGUCCUUAACAUGUUAAUUGGGUUAAAAGGUAAUAAUUACUACUCAAGGGUGUUUAAAAGAGCUAAUUACAAGCUACAAAAUAGCAUGUUUUGAGUAGUAAUCAUACACGCUAUCACAACAACCAACCAUGGCCCACGUCCCAUCACCUGCAGAGUGAAAGGACGGGUUGAGGUGACAACAAGUCACUUCCCACGAUCGUUCUACAUGAUCACUUCCUACGAUCUCUGAUAGCCGCAUCACCUACCACGGUUUCUGACAGCCGCCCGUAGGGUGGUGAUGACCCUGCUGCCAUCUAAAUAUCAUCAUGACAACAUGAAAUAUCUCCCCACCAUUAAUGAGAGGAACAAUACUCCUGACACUAUAUAUAAACCUUCACACGAAGAGGAAGGUAAUCGCCUGAUACCUAGAAAAAGGCCAACUGAUUUAUAUCUCCCUCUCUAACCAUGGCUAACAAAACCAUCGGAGGGUGCGUCCGGACACCCUGUCCGGAUGCCUUUUGCAGGUAUAACGAUUGAAUCAAGAACCUAUUUUGGUUGAGGUCGCGCAUCCAUCCAUUUGGCAACUACGUGGAACACCAGGAGCGCGAGGUAUCAACAUAAGCUUUUGCCUCUUCAUGUUGUCGUGACUUGCAAAUCCACUCCAUGUGUCCAAUCUAACCAUAUUUCUUGCACUUGACAUCAGGCCUCCACCAACACUUCCUUUGUGGGUGAUUUGUCUUUUUGCAGUGUAGGCAAGGUGGAUAGGUUCCAUCCUUGUUUUUGUUGUUGUUGUCAGUCUUGUUGAUCUUCUUCUUAUUGUUGUUUUCUUGUUUUUGCCUCAUCUUGAAUUUUAUGCCUUUGCUUGNNNNNNNNNNNNNNNNNNNNNNNNNNNNNNNNNNNNNNNNNNNNNNNNNNNNNNNNNNNNNNNNNNNNNNNNNNNNNNNNNNNNNNNNNNNNNNNNNNNNNNNNNNNNNNNNNNNNNNNNNNNNNNNNNNNNNNNNNNNNNNNNNNNNNNNNNNNNNNNNNNNNNNNNNNNNNNNNNNNNNNNNNNNNNNNNNNNNNNNNNNNNNNNNNNNNNNNNNNNNNNNNNNNNNNNNNNNNNNNNNNNNNNNNNNNNNNNNNNNNNNNNNNNNNNNNNNNNNNNNNNNNNNNNNNNNNNNNNNNNNNNNNNNNNNNNNNNNNNNNNNNNNNNNNNNNNNNNNNNNNNNNNNNNNNNNNNNNNNNNNNNNNNNNNNNNNNNNNNNNNNNNNNNNNNNNNNNNNNNNNNNNNNNNNNNNNNNNNNNNNNNNNNNNNNNNNNNNNNNNNNNNNNNNNNNNNNNNNNNNNNNNNNNNNNNNNNNNNNNNNNNNNNNNNNNNNNNNNNNNNNNNNNNNNNNNNNNNNNNNNNNNNNNNNNNNNNNNNNNAUUAACAAAUAAGAAGAAUAAGAAAUAUAGUUUCACACUUAAGUAACAACUAAUACUAUAGAGAAAUGACCACAAGCUGGAAAGUCUUGACCAAUUUGAAAAAUCAUUUGAUGUAGUUGAAAUAAUUGAAUUUUGGAUAAAAUUCAUAACUGUCUCAACAUUAUUUUUUUUCCCUUUUUAUUUUUAUUGUUUGAAUAUUCAAGAGUUAAAACCAUUCCAAUGCUCCUUUUUGCCAUGUAUAAUUAAACUGAACCAACAAUUAGGAUAAGCACGAAAAAGAAGGAACCGAGAAGAAGAUAUCAACAAUAUUAACCGGUUUUAUUAUGGGACAACUCAUGAUGUUCAUAUUGAUCUAUUAUGCGCCUUUGCAUCUAGCAUUAGCUAGACUCAUACUGUCCUAGCUCUACUAUAUCUUUUAUUUCAUUUCGAUCUUCUGAAACAAUCACAAACACUUUUCAUUAUUAUUAUUAUUAUGAAUCAAAUGGGACAUAAAUGAAAUUAACAAAUGAGAAGAGUGAAAAAGGUAAUUAACAAAAUUUCAAGCUCAUCGUUGCUAAAUAUUUUAUAAGUAAAAAUUGCCCAAGAAACGAGCCUUUAAAAGUGUACCUUUAUUUAAAAAUAAAUAAAGGUAAAUUAAAGUAUUGACUUAGUACAUAAAUAUCAACACGAUUCCAAUCCAACGCAUUUUUUUGUGGGUUUUGGUUGAAUAUAAUUCUAUUUAUAUCAAAUCCGUAUCAACUUGUGUAAUAUAUUUUACUAAUAGGUUAUUUUUAAAUCAACAUACAUAACAUGAAUUUGACUCAAGUUAACCUUUAUAUUUAAUAAUCAUACCAAUUAACCUAAUUAUAAUUCUAACCGUUUAAUUAAUAUUUGAUUCAUUUUAAAUUUAUUUUUGAACAAAUAGUUAAUUAAAUUAUAACUAUAUUAACUUGUAAGAUUAAUUAUAUAAAUUUAUACAAAACUUAACUCAAUUAAAAAUUUGAUUUAAAUGAGUUAAAUAAAUUACAAAACAUGUUAUUUGUUUAAUAAUUACAUUGUAUUUAGGUUUAUGCUUUUUACUUUAUUAAUAUCAUUAUUAUGAUUGAGUCAACCUAUUUAGUAGAAUGUUUUAGUCUUGAUAUCACACAAAUUGUCAUCCCUAUCUCUAAUCUUGUCAAACAAAUAGUUUGAACGACAUAUUUUUUUAACUAAAGAAAAUUAUUACCUUACAUAGAGUUUUAUUAAAAAAAAAAAGCCAAAUAAAAAAAUGUAAUUAAAAAUAAUUACAAAUUUAUGCAUUUUCAAAUUAUUUAAUAAAUUUAAAGAAGUGAAAUGGAUUUAAACUGACUUAUAAAAAUAAGUUAUCAACUUCAAUUUUUUUUUCUUUCUAAUUUUUUUUUUAAUUUUUUUCCCUCACAUUUUUUUCCAUAGUUAUAGGAAACCAAACAUAACCUAAUUAGGAUCCUACUAUCAUGUUUUUUUAUUCCCAAAAGUUUUUGGGUCUAACCUUUUUCUAAACUUAUUUCAAAGGGCAUCUAUAACACAAGAUAUUAAGUGUGCUUGCUCGACAUGUAGUCUUUCAUUGAUUUCCUUUUCGAUUAAAAACUUUUAGACAAGUCAGAUAUAUAGUUUUUGCUUUCUUAACAGAAAUCAAAGUCUAAGGUGGUGUUUGUUUUUUUACUUAAUUCUAAAUAGAACCUUAAUACUUAAUAGUAUUAAAUAUUAGGUUGUUUGUUUUUGUAGUAUUUUAUUUCUAUUAAGUAUUAAAAAGUAAAAAAAAUCAUUGUGUUAUUUUUUCUAUUUAGAAAAAGCCACAUAUUUUGGCUUUUUCUAUUUAGUAAAAAGUUUAUAAUAAGUCAUGAAAAAGUAAAAAAACAAACAAUCUAAAUUCUAAAACUAAAUGGUUUUCAGCAAAAAGCCAAAAAAACAAACACCAUCUAAGUCUUUGCACAAAAUCCUAAUCAAAGAGAUCUUUUAGAAAUCUUAUUGGAAGAGAAUUUAAAACCAGAGUGGUGACAAAAGCACACGAACAAAUAAAACUGGACAAAGAAAUUAAGCAUCUCGAUGAGUUGAUAAAUAUCUUUGUCAAUGCUUCUACUUGAGAGAGAAAUACAUUAGAUUUCUACACUUUUGAAUAGUUGCCUUGAGUGACUCCAAUUAUUGGAAGCCAAGGUCAAGGUCGUUGAAGUUUGUCCAUUUUUUCCCUUGGUCCCACAUUAUUUGCUUCUCCUUAAUUUCCUCUGGUUUGGGAAAAGGACAUUCACACGGUUUGGUGUAGGAACCACCCUUUCCUUUAGUAUCCAUGAUUACUUUUCUACCCAAUAAUGAGGAAAACAUUUAUGAAGGCCCCAUGUGAGGACUAUUAUUGGUGACUCUAGAAAUAGAGCUAUUCAAUUUCCCUCAUAAAUAGUGUAACAUCCAAAAUAAAUUUUAGAGACAAAAUAGUAAAUUAUUAAUUAAUUAAACUUAUUAAAAAUAAACGAGUCAUUUUACAAUUAAAAAUUGUAUCAAUUAGAUUUUCAAUUUAUCUUCUUUAUUUAGAAAACUUUAUUAACAAAAAAUCAAAUAAUUGAAGAACGUAAGGUUAAAGAUUUGGAAGUCUAUAGUUUGAAGUUCAAUUAUUUUUUUUCAAGUAAGAUUCUAACCCUAGAUUAAUAUAUUAUAUUCAUUAGUUAGUUUUGACUAUGUUAGAUAUUUUUAGAAAAUUUUAAUUUAGAUUAUAAUUAGUUUAUUUAAUUUAUUUUAAGAUAUAAAAAAUUGAAAUUAUGAAUGUUGUUUCAUUGAUGAAAAUAAAGAAAUUCAAAAUUAUUUUAGAUGAAUAAAUCUAAACAAUGAAAUUUAAAAAAAUUAAAUGAUUAAAUAAGUAUAUGAUUAUAUGUGGCUUAAGGGAUUGAAAAAUAAUAAAAAGAAGAAUAACAUGUUUUUGGAUUUUGGAUUUGAGGAAUUUUUUAAUAAUAAAAAUAAUUAAGGUUUACUAUUAAUAAGAAUAAUGAUAAUAAUGAUAUUAAUAAUAAUAAGAAGAAGAAUUGUGUGAAGAAUAAUUUCAUCUUCAACGUAGAAAUGUGAUUGUCAAGGCCUCAGUGAAGAGAACGGUAACGGACCCUGCUGUAAACGACGAUGGGUCACGAGCAAAUGGUGAAAUUGCGGAUGAACCCCACAACUGUAAAGUGCUUUUGACGCGUAAUGGGUUCCACCACUACCAUUAUUGGGGAAUCUUUCUGGUGGAUGAAAAGCCGCUUUUGGGUUCACGGUUGACUCAUUAAAUCUCCUACCUAUCUCUGAGUUUGUCAACUGAGACCACCGAGUUUUAUUUAUUUAUUUAUUUUUUUCUUUUCCUCGGUUCAAUUUUUGUUUCCAAUACGAGGAAAAGGGCUUUCAAGUCUGACACGUGGAAAGUCAGUGGGCUUCAUAAUUUUGUUACAUUUUUAGGGUUUGUUGGAGCUGCAAUAGGGACAAUAAUUUUUGUAUGGAUAAGCUACAAAUCAGAUAUCGAAUCUAAAACAAAUGUUUAAUGGUGCAACUAAAAGAUGUUUUUUCAAACAUUUUAUUUAUAUUUUUUAUGUGAAAUAUGUUUUUUUUUUUCUCCCAAAGAAUAGAAAACUAUUUUUAAAAAAAUGUUAUUAACAAAAUCUAAGUAUAAAAUCAAUUAAAAACAAUGAGAUUUUUUUUCUUAAAAUUUUCUAUGAUAAGAUAACAUUAGAAUGACACUAUUAGCAAAAUAAAAAUUUAAAGCUAAAUAUACAUUCCUACAAUGUGAAUAAUUAAAUAGCACACAAUCUAAUAUAAUUAUUUAAUUUAUUUUUAAAUUAGAUAUUAUUUAAUUAAUUACCAAAAUUUAGAAAAAAAAAAUCAAGCUCAAAAUUAAAGAGAACCUAAAUUUUUUUAAAAAAAAUUAUUUAAUAAAAUGUCAAAUACAAAAUUACCAAAAAAAAAUUAACAUUAUUAGAAAAGUUAUAAUAAAAUUAAAAUUUACAUUUAAUGCAAGAAAGAAAAAUAAAUAAAAUGUUGAAUGCAUGAAAAAAAUUAAAUUGAACUUUUAAAACUCAAAAUUAAAUUUAUGGGGUUUCUAUUUUAUUUUUUAUUAUUCGAAAACCUUAUUUAUAUCUAUGAGAUUUUUUAGGGGACUCGCCCAUCUACUGGCUUGGUCAAUGUAAUAUAAACUUCUUUUAAUCAUAUAAAUGUAUUUUAAAAUCAUGAAUAUUGAUUGUGCUCAAAGUAAAUAAUAUCGUAAAUACAUAUUCUGUUCAAAGUGGAUAAUAUCUACAUAAGAAAAAGCAAAUUAUUAUAAAUGAUAUUAAAAUCAAUCCUUGAAUAUGCGAGACUACCUAAAUGGUCUUAGAGGGAUGUUUAUGUGUUUGACCUUUGCAUGGUAUAAGUAAUGAGAUCUAUCUUAUCACCGACCAAUCAUGAAAUAUGAUAUAAUAUUCAUAUUUUAUCUUAUUUUAUACUAUAUCCGGUUAACCAAACAUGACCUAAGGUUAAUUGUUGUAACUAGUCAAGUUUUAGCCAUGACGGAUGCAUACUCAAUCAUGGUAUUAUCUCAGCCUUUUGGGCUUCCAGGACUGGUCCUUUAAAUUUGGGCUCAAACCCAACCUAAUGGAAGAGGGCCUUAACUCAGUUCAUGGGCCUGUCUAGCCUGCCGCGCUGGUUUCCAACUGGCUCGACCCAGCCUAGACUAGGGGUCGUGCCCGUCCACUAUAUUGUUAUAAUUUUUAUAGGAUCAUAGGUGAUUUAUUCUUUGAAUUUUAUAGUAAAGAGACAAAGCUUGAUAAUAAGAAUUUGGACAUUGUCUAAAAAAUUUUAAGGGUGUUUAGCAUCUAAAUUUUGAGAAUUUUUUUGGCUAUAAAAAAAUUUGAGAAAAACUACAAAGAAAAUAAAAUAAAGAAAAAAAGUAAAAAGGAAAAAAAAUGAUGAAAAAUAAUGAAUAAAUUUAAAGUUCAUGCGAUAUUUUUAUAUGUUAUUUAAAAAAAAUUAACUCUUAUAUAUAAAGGUUGAAUAAUUUGAAAAUAUAUAGAUUUCUAAUUAUAUUAAAUUUUCUUACAUAUUUUUAAUGAUAAAAUCAAAUAUGAAAUCAAACAUGAGAAUAUAAUUUUUCUUAAUAAUUUUUAUUUUUAUUUUUUUAACAUUUUUCUUUCUUUUUAUGAUACAUACUCUUAAGUCUAAUCCAAUGAGGUAGAGGUAGUUGUACAUAGAAGGUCCAACUAAUGUUGGUUGAUGUGGGACAUUGAACUUUCGUCUGUCCUAUGUAGUGAACCUANNNNNNNNNNNNNNNNNNNNNNNNNNNNNNNNNNNNNNNNNNNNNNNNNNNNNNNNNNNNNNNNNNNNNNNNNNNNNNNNNNNNNNNNNNNNNNNNNNNNNNNNNNNNNNNNNNNNNNNNNNNNNNNNNNNNNNNNNNNNNNNNNNNNNNNNNNNNNNNNNNNNNNNNNNNNNNNNNNNNNNNNNNNNNNNNNNNNNNNNNNNNNNNNNNNNNNNNNNNNNNNNNNNNNNNNNNNNNNNNNNNNNNNNNNNNNNNNNNNNNNNNNNNNNNNNNNNNNNNNNNNNNNNNNNNNNNNNNNNNNNNNNNNNNNNNNNNNNNNNNNNNNNNNNNNNNNNNNNNNNNNNNNNNNNNNNNNNNNNNNNNNNNNNNNNNNNNNNNNNNNNNNNNNNNNNNNNNNNNNNNNNNNNNNNNNNNNNNNNNNNNNNNNNNNNNNNNNNNNNNNNNNNNNNNNNNNNNNNNNNNNACCCUAUAGAGUAGUAAUCUGCUCCCUUUAGUUAUGCCUGUAACGUAGGGAUUAUACAACUCAUGUCCACACUCUCCCUCAAGUUGGUGCAUAGAUGUCGUUGAUGCCCAACUGCAUACCAUCUUAGUGAGGAUGUCUGCUAGUUGGUCUUCUGAUUUGAAAAAUGGGAAUCAGAUUAUAUUAACUUCUAAGUUUUUCUUGAUAAAAUGUCGGUCUACUUCCACAUGCUUAGUUCAAUCAUGUUGGACUAGGUUAUAAGCAAUAUCAAUGGCUGUCUUGUUAUCACAAAGCAAGUUCAUCUCGCAACAAGGAGAAUAGCCAAUUUCUAUCAAUAAUCUUCUCAGCCAGAGUAACUCACACAACCCCUUAGCCAUUCCUCGAAACUCCGCCUCUGCACUAGAUAGUGCUACUGAUUCGUGCCCGAUUGGUGUUCCAAUUGAUUCAACUCAAUUGAUGUGCUUUGAUCUCAAUCCUCAGACGGGAGUAAUCAACAAAAUUUAUAAACCUAUUUCACCAUAUACUGGGGUAGCAUUUAACUAGCAUAGUAUAGUGGCUCUAGGAUCGUCCACAGAGAUGGGUUUUCACAUCGCAAUUGAUAUUAGUUCAAAAAUUGAAUUGGUACUUUUUAUUUUCUUUGUUAGCUUUAAAAGAAGACAUAAGUUUGAAUGAAAACGGAUGGUAUUAAGCUAACCUAACAUAAAGUAAUUGAUUUUACUUACAAAGAAAAGUGUUUCUUGGAGUUUUAGAUCACUAGGCUCAGAUUCCUCAUACAAAAAGGGAGUUCCGGUCACUUGCUUCUUUUCCUCGCAUUAGAGAAUUAACAUAUAGUUAAUUCUCUAACCGGUGUGGUACAGAUGCUUCCCAUUAAUGGGUUCAAACACUAAAUUCCUCUCACUGAUGCACCUUGCAAUGGCUCAUACCUCUCACCAAACACUUUCCAUUCAAGGUGAUCUUUAACCUUGGAUUACCCGUCAAAAGCGAACAAGAGAUAACAAUUAGACCUCCAUGGAGCAAGAUUGCAAGCAAUAAGAAUCCAUGGAAUUCGAAAGCUUACCAAAUAUUGGCUAUUCUAGAAAAUCCUACCUUUAAACCACCUACCAAAAGCUCGCAAGAGAUAAACUAGUGCAUCUCUAUGGACGGAGAUCACUUGCCUUACCAAGUGUUAGCUCAGGUGAAUUGAAGGCGUUUUAAGUUAACUAAAAAGAUAAAAACCAUUAACGGGUCACACUUUCUCUUCAUUAAAAACUAAAACAACAAAACUUUCAAUUUAUGCAUGUGGAAACUUACCCGGCUUUCCUCACUCCAAGAGACGAAGAGCCUAGCCUCUCAUCCUCUGAGGAAAAAUCCUCAGAGUUUGGUUAGCUAGAAAGAAAAAGAAAAUGAAAAUGAAAGAGAAGGAAAAACAAAGCAAAGCUCUUUAUAUUCUAUAUACUUAUAUAUCUAUAUCUUUUACAAUGGAUGCAAGGGAAUAUAUAUAGAGAAGUUUUUCCAACCUUCCUAGCUAAGAAAUCUUAUGGUUGGUGGAUUACAAGGAGAAGAAUGGAAAUUUAUACAAAAAUAUCUGAAGAAAAUAUCUAAAAGAGUUGGUGCACAAAUAUCCCAGUUUGCAUGUAGAUUUCGCACGUUGCAUGGUGACUUGCGAAAAUCUCGCAAGUUGAUUUCGCAACUUGGAAUCCAUUUUCGCACGUUGAGCUCCAAGUUCGCAAGUUGCAAAAUCACUUUCGCAAGUUGGGCUUCUCUGUGACUGUGCGGCUGUAUUCCAUUUCCAUUUCGCAAGGUAGGCUUUAAUUUCGCACGUUGGAGUUCCAAAUUCGCAAGAUGCGAAUUUGUCCUUCAACUGGGUACAGUUGUCUUGUGAAAGCCAUAUCUUCCUCAUUUCAGCUCCAAUUCGUACACUGUUUGAAGCGUUGGAUUCUUGACUUCCUGAGCUUUGAAAUGGUAUAUAGCAUGUAGAAAAUGGACUUCGGGAAGUGCUCCAAAAGUGUGAAAGAAGACUGAAGCUGCUGUCCUCUAUUUUCUUCACUCUGUUUUUCCUCUCUCCGUUGUUCUUUCCUUGCAUACUUUGAACGAAUUUGGCAAAGGGCUAUGGAGCUCCAAAGCUUGGUUCUUCAUGAAUUUGAGCUUCCAAAAGCUUUGCCAUGAACUAUAUACAGCUCUCCCUCAUUCUUGGAUUGCUUUGGUGUAGCUAAAAGCUAUCAAAAACACCAAAACUUAACACAAUUUGCUUAGAAACGAUUGCAAGGGUCCUUAACAUGUCAAUUGAGUUAAAAGGUAAUAAUUACUACUCAAGAGUGUUUAAAAGAGUUAAUUACAAGUUACAAAAUAGCACUUUUUGAGUAGCAAUCAGCUACUACUUUAUGUUUUUUUACUUCGACAUGUUUUCAAGUUUCUCCAACAAAUGUGAGGUAACCUGAUGUGGAUUUCCUAUCGGAGAUAUUUCUUGCCCAAUCAACGUCGAUAUACCCUAUAAUUUCCAGGUACCCAUUCUUUGAGAACAUAAUUCUCUUCCCUAGGGUUCCCUUAAGGUAUCUUAAAAUUUGAGUCACUACAUUCAUAUGAUCUUCACUAGGGCAAUGCAUGAACUGAUUCACUACACUGACCGCAUAGACAAUAUCAGGUCGGGUAUGUGAAAGAUAAAUUAGUUUUCCAACCAAUCUCUGAUAUUUGCCUUUAUCAGUGGGGAUCUGGUCAGGGUAUUCUCCAAGCCUAUGAUUCUAUUGUAUUGGAACAUCUGUCAGUUUACAGUCUAGCAAUCCAACUUUUGAUAAUAGAUCGAGAGUAUACUUUCGUUGGGAAAGAAAGAUACCUCGUUUAGAUUGAGCCACCCGAAUUCCUAGAAAAUAUUUCAACCAAGCCAAACUCUUUAUUUCAAACUUUGCUGCCAACUGUUUUUUAAGUUUCGCAACUUCCUCGGUAUCAUUACAUGUGAUGAUCAUAUCAUCUACAUACACUAUUAGUGUUGUUACCUUGCCUUGUCGACGCUUUAGAAAUAGAGUGUGGUCAUAAUUGCUUUGUUGAAACCCAUACUUUCUCAUUGCUAGGUUGAGGCGUCCAAACCAAGCUUGUGGAGACUAUUUCAAGCCGUACAGGGUGGGCCACAGUUUACACACUGUCUUGCCAGACGUUUCAAUGUACCCAUGGGGAAUAUCCAUAUAAAUUUCUUCUUCGAGGUCACUAUGGAGGAACACAUUCUUUACAUCAAAUUGGAGUAGCGACCAAUCAAGAUUCACUACAAUAAAUAGAAGGACUCUUAUAGUGUUCAACUUGGCUACAAGUGAGAAGGUCUCCAUAUAGUCAACUCCAUAAGUCUACGUAUAUUAUUUCGCUACAAGCCUCACUUUUUAGCACUCAAUUGACCCAUCCACCUUGUAUUUGAUGGAGAAUACCCAUUUGCACCCCACUAUCUUGUGGCAUUCUAGUAAAGAGACAAGAAUCCACGUCUUGUUUUUCAACAAUGCUUCCAUUUCUUCCUUUAUUGGUUGGACCCACCUAGGGUCUUGUAGAGCCUCCUCUAUGCUUGUUUGAAUGUGAUGCGCUGAUAAUGCAUUAGAAAAGCUCUUUAAGGGUUCUGAAAGCUUCUUUGUUGAGACGUAAUUGGCAAUUGGGUACUUUGAUUUGUGUGUCUCAAUAUUUGGAGAAUAGCAUUUUGGUAGUUUGCCACGAUUGUGCUUGGAAGGUAACUAAUAACCAUCGUCAGUUAAAUGUUUUGUGGCAAGAGGAAAACUUACCUUAGGAACCUCUUCAGGAAUAUUCUCAGAAGUUGGGUCAUGAGGUACUUUAGAAUGAGGGGGUGUCUCAGGAAUUGGAGUUGGUGUCUCAGUAGUCAGCAUUGGUGGCUCUGUAGCUAUUCCAUACCCAUGGUAGUUGGUGGCUCUAUAAUCAGUGGGAUGUCUGGGAUGUCUUUGAACCAAUUCAACUCUUCAUCGUGUGUCUUCCCCUUAAGAGAAGAAUUGGAUGGAUGAUAGAACAUCUCAGACUCGAGGAAGGUGACAUCCAUAGUAACAUAGAGCCGCAUGUUUGUUGGAUCAUAGCACCAGUAACCUUUUUGAUUGGUGGCAUAGCCUAGAAAGAGACAACGACAAGCACAAGGAUCGAGUUUAGUGCGCUGGUUGCAGUGAAGAUGAACAUAGACAACGCAUCCAAAGGUUCGGGGAAGAAGCGUCGUAGUCGAAAGUACUCAUAUACUCGAGGCUAAGGCCUGUAGAGGUGUUUUGAAAUCCAGAAUUUGGAAUGUCAUUCGAUUAAUGAGAUGCACAAUAAUUGUAACCGCAUUAGGCCAGUAAGGACUAGGUACAUGUGCACUUAAUAGGAGGACACGUGUGGUCUCGAGAAUAUGGCGAUUCUUACGUUCUACUACACCGUUUUGCUCUAGAGAAUGAGGACACGAGGUUUGAUGUAUCAACCCAUGUUGGUGGAAGUACUUCUGGAAUUGUCGAUUCAUGUAUUCAGUGCCAUUAUCAAAGGAAAAAACUCCGAGUUUGGCAGAAAAUUGGGUUUGAGUCAUUGUGUGAAAAGAGCAGAAGACAGUAAAAACCUCAUCUUUGUUUGUCAGUAGGUAGAGCCACAUCAUUCAAGUGCAAUCAUCAACAAAGAGAACAAAUCAGCGAUAACCCGAUAGAGUAGAUUUUAGGGAUGGUCCCCACACAUCAGAAUGAAUUAAGCUAAAAGGUACAUCACUCUUAUUCUUAUGUAAAUGAUAAAUUAUCCGGUGACUUUUGGCCAAAAUACAAGUUUCACAUUGAAAAUCUGAGAUAGAGAAAUCAGAAAAUAAACUAGGUAGUAAAUGCUUCAAAUAUCCAAAUGACGGAUGGUUGAGUCGUCGAUGCCAAAGUCAUAUCUGUUCUAUUCUAGAAUCACCCGACUAUCCCACAUGAUGAGUUUGUCCCAUUUUUAACAGAGCCAUGUUAAAAAUCUCUUAUCUUUCUUUAUUUUCAUGUGUUUGGUUUGGUUAAUGUAGGAGAUCUCCAUCCAAUCUGCAUUUCGCUCAACCAUCCGACAUCAGAAAAUGGAUACAAACUAGAAGUACUUUGCCCUUCCCUACUAUGCAGUCGCUUGUCACCAAAAAUGGUAAGUCCUGGUUGAACUCCAGAAGUCUGCUCAUGGGUGAAAUUCAUCUACAUCCCCAAAAAAUCUCCACCAUACCACUUUCUUGGAAAAUUUGGUUGGAAUCCUGGCAAAUACUUGCACAAAAUCCGAUUUCUACUAUUUCAACUGGCAAAACUCUCACUGGGAUUAUUCCCACUGCACCUAUCUUUUGGUUUCUGGAAAAGCGAAUACCAAGAGGCCGUCUCAUUACGGAACUGUAGAUGUUGUAUCUUGCCGAAAAAUUUCAUCACCAACCUCCUAUAAUAAAGAGAGGUUGUAUCUUGAAAGUCAUAAUCAUAUCCUCCAAGUGAGCUUUUUCUUCUAUCAUCACUGAUAGUGGUAGAUAAAAACCAAACUAGAGCACUGAUGAAAAGAUUGAAAUUGCAUUGGGUUCUUUUAAGAUUGAAGAAGAGAACAGUGGAAAAGGCAUUAUGGGUAAAAGAAUUGUCAAACUUGUAAGAUUUGUUUCUAUUUCUUUUGGUCAUUGGUCAAGUAGUCAUUACUUUUUUAUUUUUUAUUUUAUUUUUAUUUUUUAAAAUCAACUCUUGAUUCAAUGAUUUCACAAUGCAUGUAUCAAUUGGAUGAUGAUUCUUGAAUUAGAAAUUUCCUUCCACACAAUAUGAUUAUAAAUAAAUACACAAGAAAAAUGAGCAACAGAACUACCAAAGAAUCAAACAGUUUUAGGUCUACUUCGCCUUGCAGCCUUAAGGCAAAAAUAUAGAAAAUAAGAUGGGAAGUUACUGAUUUACAAUUGGUGUAGAGAACAAUCGAAUAGAUAUUCAUGAAAUCAAUUUACACUAAAACACACCUGUGAUUAUGUCCUAAGAAAUCCAAUUCUGAUGCAACAUAUAUGAAGUUGAUAACACCAACAAACAAGACUGAACUUUGGCUGAUUCUCCCUAACUAUCUACCUUCUUCUAAGCUGACAGUUAUCUCAUUGUUGGAGCAUGUUUUCGGAUUGGUGGAAGAGGAAGGAGCUAAGCUGGGCGGCCCUCUUCUCACAACAAAGGCUGGUUGCUAGGGUAUUGGAAGUGUGGCUAUCUCACUAUUGAGCAUGAGAAAUGCAUUGGGCAUGGUGGGGCGAUCACUUGGGUCUUCUUGUACACACAACAACCCAACAUUUACACACCUCAAGAAUUCAUUAGUGUUGCAUGUUUCACUUAGUGUCUGGUCCAUCAAAUCAUACACCUUGUCUUCUUUCCACAAUCUCCAUGUUUGGAACAAUUCUCUUGAUAUUAAAAUUAGAUUUGCUAAAGUAAAAUGAUAGGUUGGGCAAUCAUAUCAAUUUGAUAUAUAAUAUAAAGAUUUUUUUUCUAGGGGAGGUCAUCAAUUCAAACCUCAUUGUUUGUUUAUUUUCUUUAUUUACUAAGCUUACAUGCAAAUCUAAAGAAGGCCACUUGUGAGAUAAUGUUGAAUGACAUGUCCUAGGAGCUGCUGACAUGGAGCUACGUAGAAUGAAGUGGAAGUAGUUAAAAUAAGUUAGUCAUGUGGAAGAUUUACCUAUUCCUUAGGAAGUAUUUGUUGGUUUGUUUUUAUUCUUUAGGAAGUAUCUAUAGGUAGCAUGUUUGUUGCUAUUUUUAUGUUUUUCUGUUUUAAGCUAGCUGUAUAAAUAAGUGCUUUGAAGCUUAAUAAAAUAUAACUUCAGAUUCCUCAACAUUAUGUUGCUUCUUGAGAGUUUCUACCCUUUGUUUUUAUCAAAACCUACAAAUUGGUAUCAGAGUUGUUGUUAUUGAGUAACCUGUGAGGUGAGUGAGCCUAUACACCACCAUCUACCCUAUCCAAAACAAUAUCCAUGUUGUUCUUGAGUAACCUGUGAGGUGAGUGAGCCUAUACACCACCAUCUACCCUAUCUAAAAGAAUAUCCAGAAUGACCUCAGAAGCUUCACUGAAUGCAGUGGCACCUCCAGUGUUUGAUGGAAUAAAUUAUCAAGUGUGGGUUGUCUGUAUGGAAGCCUACCUUGAUGCUAGUGAUCUGUGGGAAGCUGUUAGUGAGGAAUAUGAAGUUCCUCCCCUGUCCGACAAUCCAACUAUGGCUCAGAUAAAACUACACAAUGAGAGGAGGCAAAGGAAAUCAAAGGCAAAAGCUAGUCUAUUUGUAGCUGUCUCAUCCACAAUUUUCACCAGAAUCAUGGCAUUGAAGACGAAAAAUGAAAUAUGGAACUUCCUGAAGAAGGAAUAUGAAGGAAAUGAAUGAGUCAAAGGUAUGCAAGUGCUGAACCUGAUUAUAGAGUUUGAGAUGCAAAGGAUGAAAGAAUCAGAAACAAUCAAGGAUUACUUAGACAGACUUCUUAGUAUUGUUAACAAAGUAAGACUUCUUGGUACUGACUUUUCUGAUUCUAGAAUAGUUCAAAAAAAUUUUAUAACAGUUCCUGAAAAGUUUGAGACUACAAUAUCAUCUCUAGAAAACUCAAAAGAUGUGUCAAGUAUCACCUUGGCAGAGCUGUUGAAUGCAUUACAGGCUCAAGAACAAAGGAGGCUUAUGAGACAAGAAGAAUAUGUGGAGGGUGCAUUUCAGGCCAUAUCUCAGUACAAGAAAGAAAUGCAAAGCAACAAUAACAGCAGCAACAACACUCAAAAGUUUCCACCAUGUCCUUACUGUAAAAAAUCCAAUCAUCCACAAAAAAAGUGUUGGUGGAGGUUGGAUGUAAAAUGUCACAAGUGUGGUCAGCUAGGGCAUGUGGAAAGAAUAUGCAAAUCUCAACAGCAGCUAGGAGAAGUCAAGGUUGCUGUGGAAGAACUUCAAGAUGAGCAACUGUUUGUGGUAUCAUGCUUUUUCACUAGCAGCUCCCUAGAAACUUGGCUUAUAGACAGUGGUUGUACAAACCAUAUGACUUAUGAUCAAGGGCUCUUUAAGGAACUUGACAAAACUGUUACUUCCAAAGUUAGAGUUGGAAAUGGAGCAUAUCUUGCAGUAAAAGGCAAAGGCACCAUGGCAAUUGAAGGCCACACAGGUUUGAAAUUAAUCUCUAAUGUCUUAUAUGUUCCUGAGAUUAAUCAAAAUUUGCUGAGUGUUGGUCAGCUAUUGGAAAAAGGCUAUAAGGUGUUGUUUGAGGACAAUCAUUGCAUGAUUGCUAAUGGACAAGGCAGAGAGGUAUUUAUAAUCCAAAUGAAAGACAAAAGCUUUGCCUUGGAUUUGAUACAAGAAGAGCAAGUUGAAAUUCACAAAGAAAAAACAAUACAAUGCUUUGGCAUAGGCGUUUGGGGCACUUUCAUCAUACCGCCCUGCUCUUUAUGANNNNNNNNNNNNNNNNNNNNNNNNNNNNNNNNNNNNNNNNNNNNNNNNNNNNNNNNNNNNNNNNNNNNNNNNNNNNNNNNNNNNNNNNNNNNNNNNNNNNUUAAAUAUGAAGUGCUACAUUUUUGGAAGUUUAAAGCUUGGGAUGAAAAUCAAAGUAAAUGUAAAAUGCAAGUGAUCAGGUCUGAUAAUGGAACUGAAUACACCUCGGAGAAAUUUAACAAAUUUUGUGAAGAUGCAGGCAUUGAGCACCAGCUUACAACACCUUAUACCCCUCAACAGAAUGGAGUCGUUGAGAGGAAAAAUAGAACACUUAUGGAAAUGACAAGGUGUUUGCUGCAUGACAAAUGGCUGCCAAAGAAAUUCUGGGCUGAGGCUGCACAUACAUCAAUCUUUCUGCUGAAUAGACUGCCAACAAAAGCUUUGCAACAAAAUACUCCAUUUGAAGCAUGGUAUGGCUAUAAACCAAGGCUACAAAAUUUAAAAACAUUUAGUUGUCUUUGUUUCUCUUAUAUUCCACAUGUUAAGAGAGACAAAUUGGAUAAAAAAGCUGAAGUUGGGAUCUUUAUAGGCUAUAGCUCAAUAUCAAAGGCCUAUAGAAUCUACCUUCCAGAAAAUAACAAAGUGAUAGUUAGCAAAGAUGUCAAAUUCUUUGAAUCAGAAAGUUGGAGUUGGGAGAAUGAUAAGAAGCUUGAGUUUAAAGAGAAUCUUGAGUUCCAAAAGGACCUUGAGUUUCAGGAGGAGCAUGACAAUAUUGAUGAUGAACCUAUCAGGGGAACCAAAUCACUCUCUAACAUCUAUCAGAGGUGCAAUGUUGCUAUAAUAGAGCCUGCAGGGUAUGAAGAAGCUACAACUGAUAAAAAAUGGAUGGCUACAAUGAAGGAGGAGCUUAAAAUGAUUUUGAUGGACAAACCGACACACAAAAGGGCAAUUGGAGUCAAGUGGGUUUAUAGAACCAAACUCAAUUCCGAUGGUUCUAUAAACAAACACAAGGCAAGACUAGUUGUCAAAGGAUAUGCUCAGAUGUUUGGGGUGGAUUUCUCUUAGACUUUUGCCCCAGUUGCUAGAUUGGACACUAUAAGAAUGUUGUUGGCUCUUGCUGCUCAAAAAGGCUGGAAUAUACAUCAGAUGGAUGUCAAAUCAGCCUUCUUGAAUGGAUACUUGGAGGAAGAAAUUUUUGUGGAGCAGCCUGAAGGUUUUAUUGUUCAAGGAAUGGAGGAGAAAGUAUAUUUGCUGAAAAAGGCCUUGUAUGGUUUAAAACAGGCACCAAGGGACUGGUACAGUAGGAUUGAUUCACAUUUGUUAGGCAUAGGCUUUACAAAAAGCCUAAGUGAAUUUACUCUAUACUUCAGGAAGGUUUGUGAUGAAACACUUGUGGUAUCCUUAUACAUUGAUGAUCUACUUGUGACAGGAAGCAGUAUGGAGCAAAUUGUUAAUUUCAAAAAGGAAAUGAAUGAUGUUUUUGAGAUGACUGAUCUUGGAAGGAUGACAUUCUUUCUUGGCAUGGAAGUACAACAAAAAUAGAAUGAGAUCUUCAUAUGUCAACAAAAAUAUGCCAAGGAAAUCCUGAAAAAGUUCAAAAUGGAAGAGUGCAAUCCAAGUGCAACUCCAAUGAAUCAAAAUGAGAAGUUUUGCAAAAAAGAUGGAGCUGCAAAAGCUGAUGAAAGGCUUUACAAGACCAUUAUUGGGCGCUUGAUGUACCUAACAGCAACUAGACCAGAUAUUAUGAAUGCAGUAAGUUUACUCUCAAGGUACAUGCAUUGUGCUAGUGAAAUUCACUUUCAAGCAGCAAAAAGAAUUGUUAGAUAUGUCAAGGGUACAAUUGACUAUGGUUUGAGGUUUUGUCAAGUUAAAAACUUUACUCUUCAUGGUUAUUCAGAUAGUGAUUGGGCAGGUUGUGUUGAUGACAUGAGAAGUACUUUAGGUUAUUGUUUCAGCUUUGGUUCUGCUAUUUUUACAUGGUGUUCCAAAAAGCAAGAAGUCAUAGCCCAAUCCACAGCAGAAGCAAAAUAUGUAGCUGCUGCUGCUGCUAUGAAUCAGGCUUUCUGGAUCAGGAAAUUGAUGGCUGACUUGUUUAUGGAGCAAAAGAAAAGCACACAAAUACUCGUAGACAACCAAGCUGCAAUUUCAAUUGCAAAUAAUCCGGUGUUCCAUGGCAAAACAAAACAUUUCAAGCUAAAACUCUAUUUACUAAGAGAGGUACAGAAAGAGGGAGAAAUACAGUUGGUCUACUACAAAACAGAAAGUCAAAAUGUUGAUAUCUUAACCAAACUACUUCUCAAAGCUAGAUAUGAGUUCUUGAGGCAAAGGCUUGGAGUCUGCAGCUCCAGAGACAAGGAGGAGUGUUGAAUGACAUGUCCUAGGAGCUGCUGACAUGGAGCUGAGUAGAAUGAAGUGGAAGUAGUCAAAAUAAGUUAGUCAUGUGGAAAAUUUACCUAUUCCUUAGGAAGUAUUUGUUGGUUUGUUUCUAUUCUUUAGGAAGUAUCUAUAUGUAGCAAGUUUGUUGCUAUUUUUAUGUUUUUCUGUUUUAAGCUAGUUGUAUAAAUAAGUGCUUUGCAGCUUAAUAAAAUAUAACUUCAGAUUCCUCAACGUUUUGUUGCUUCUUGAGAGUUUCUACCCUUUGUUUCUAUCAAAACCUACAGAUAAGGUAUUGGCCCACCAUCACAUGAUAGUUUAAGCUUUGGGUUGAAUUGAUAAUUUAACAAAGAAUGACUAAAAGAUAAAUCAUCAUGAGAUAUUCAAGCCACUUACAUAACCUAAAAGGCUCAUAGCUUGGUCAGAUUGAUAAAAUCCUGUGUUCCUCUUCCCACUGAUGAUCUCAAGUACAAUAACACCAAAGCAAAAAACAUCAGAUUUUACUAAGAAAAACCCAUCUAGCACAUAUUCUGGAGACAUAUAGCCACUGCAUUACAUGGAAUGUUAAAAAGUAAUCAGUUGAUUAGGUAUAUGCCAAGGCAAAUAUCUUUCCCCAUGCAUACAAUACUUACUAAGUGCCCACUACUAUGUUUGUGUUUGCCUCUGUUUGCUUGCUCUCAAAGAUCCUGGCCAAGCCGAAGUCUGAAAUUUUGGGAUUCAUAUCCCCAUCUAGUAGAAUGUUGCUCGUCUUCAAGUCCCUGUGAAUGAUCUUCAACCUUGAAUCUUGGUGAAGAUAAAUUAGCCCUCGAGCAAUUCCCAAAAUGAUGUCGAAGCGACUCUCCCAGUUUAGUAACACGCAUAGCAUUCGAUCUUGCCCAGUUGCCAUUAGAAAGAAAAAUUUUAGUGGCAUGGUUCAUUCAGUUAGAUCCUGUCUAUCAGUUCAUGGCACGUAUGCAAUGAUACAACAAAAGUAGGGACUUGACGUAGGUUUAGAGGCAAACCAAAUAUGAAAGAGUCUAAGCUUUUGUUGGGCAUAUAUUCAUAAAGUAAAAUCUUCUCAUCUCCUUCAAUACAAUAGCCCAGAAGUCUAACCAGAUUUCGAUGCUGAAGUUUGGCAAUCAACACAACCUCAUUCUUAAAUUCCACUAGGCUUUGCCUUGAAGCACUUGAGAGUCUCUUCACAGCUACUUCUUUCCCAUCUGGAAAUUUGCCCUAGAAGCCACAAUGCAUAUGCAUUAGACAUUGAUAAUCAGAAAUCAGUUGAAAAUAUGAGCAUUGUUUGAAAUAAGUUAUAUUACCUUGUAAACCGGCCCAAAGCCCCCUUGUCCAAGCUUAUGCGAAUCUAAAAAGUUAUCCGUAGCAGCCAGGAUGUCUUUUAAGUUGAAAAAUGGUACAUCAAUGCCUUUCUUAUCCUCAUCUUUGAAUUGCUUCAAGUCUAUUAAGUGUUUCACACGACUUUCACUAUCAUACAAGUGUAGCACAGGAUUUGCCCUGUUUCCUAAAUUAAAAAAAAGGAAAAUAUUAUAUAGAAAACCUCUGCAAUUUUCUCAAUUUUGCCAGGUACAAUUUGAAAAGAAAAUAGCGGAAGAUCCAUGGUAGAGCUUAUGGCACAAAGAUUACCUUUCCUUUUGGUGAUGUUUCUUUUGCGCAAAUAAGCAAUAUAACCAAUGGUGCUUAAAAGCGCAACUAGAACAACAACAAUUGUUAUGCCUACCACAACUACCGGAGAUGAUAAUGACGACAUCUUAUUGCCAAGGUCUAAAACAAAGAAGAACCACUCUCAUUCAUGGAAAAGGCAAUGCAUCUGUCAUUACUAACCUCUAUGUCUUUCAUUGGAAAAUAAGUUUAAAUGACCAAAACCAAGCAAAAAGAAAGUAUUGAGUUCAACUUCUCACAUACCUAGAAAGCAAAUUUAGAAAUAUACUAGGUCUGUAGCUCACCUUGUGUAAAAUCUAAACUUGAUCCAUUUCACUUAAAUUUUUCACUACAAAAGCACUUAGUGGUUCCAUUUUGUGUUCUGCAAUUUGAAUUAGGCCAAUCCUUGCAGUCUGCUGAUGAGGUACACACUAGCUCCAAUGGUGGAUCCCAACUGAUCUCUAUCUCAAUGCUAUUUUCCAAUGACUUCUCAGAGCCAAAAUUGUCGAUUUUGACCACUGUGCAGACAUUGGUCAUGUGAAAAGGCAGGUUUAGUGGUGGAAUUUUGUUGAUAAGACUUCGAGAACUGCAAUCUAAUUCUUUAAGUUAGAUUACAAAUGUUAAUGUCUCUAGAUUAAUGCUAGUUACCCGAUAGGUGCCACCAGGUACCUUGAACUGAACCUGGCCCGUGGUAAUGUUACAUUCAAAAUUAAAGUACAUGGGAUCACCACACUUUGAUCCAGUGCUUAGAGGAUAAGGAAUCAUGAUUGAGCCACAAGCUUGACAAUUUCUUACUGUUGAUUCUGCAAAUAAAAUGUAGAAUCCCUUGUUAAAGGGUAUUUCUUCCGAUUAUAGUUUCUUCCUAAUGUCUAUAAAUGGAUUUAUGCUUGUGUUGAUCAGUAAACUAAAACAUGAGGUACUUCUUCUCAAGAAAAGGGGAAAAAGAAAUUGGAAAGGGACAUACCUAUAUCUGAAAUAGAUACACGAACAAAGAGAUUGUCAGCAUCAGAGUCAUACUCCUCCUGAAGACCACUAAGGUCGUCUGUCCAAAUCAAGCAUUCUGGGUUAUUGCCCCUUUAUGUUAUUUAGUUUGAGCAUAAUGUCACGGACUUAGUCGUUCACUAAGCUCUUGUGGCACUUAGGCAAGUCAAGACGCUUGAUCUUGCUAAGUCAGCCUUGCUCCCAAUGCUUAGCUUGCUAGGCUAAGACACUCACGACUCGAAAGCUUAAGAAGCUUAGUAAGCAACUCUUUAAAGGAAGCUCUUAUUAACUCAUGGAAGCCUUUACAAGUGCUUGGAAGCUCACUUGCUUGGUACCUUGGCCAAAUGAGGCCCUCACCUAUUUAUAGGCACCAAUGGAACUCUCUAGAACCUUGGAGGGUUCCUUACAACUUAAGUAUAUUCUAGAAUGUCCUACAUCAUUCUAGGUACAAGCCUAUGUACAAGGAUAUACAAGAGACUUCUAGAAUUCUCUAGAAAGCCCUGGACUCCUCUCAUGCCUUCCACCAUAGUGUAGAAUUGUGUGGAUUCCUCCAGGCUUCUCCACAACCUUCCACACUCUUCCCACUCUAGGAGUCUCCAAAAGCUUCCUGGCUCUAUAUAAGCCCAUGGGGAGGCUCAUUUGAAUCAGCUUGUGACACUCUCCUCCACCUAAGCCGCAGACGUUCUUGUCGCGCCUUCUACCCGGAAUCGCUCAAUUUGCUCCUAUAACUGCCAUAGUGCAUCUGUUGGCUCCCAGCUAGCCUCACUUUUUGGUAGUCCUUUCCAUUUCACUAAGUAUUCCGUACCAGGAGGUACACCUCGUCUCCUGAUGACCCGAUCUACGAGAAAGUGUUCUAUCUCCUUAUCAUAGGAGAUCACGACCGUUGUAGGUGCCCUCUUAGACAACCCUCGGCUUGGAUCAUCUUUGUCUUCGUGAUAGGGUUUCAAGUAGUUUACGUGGAAGACAUGAUGAAUCUUCAACCUUGGCAGUAGCUUAACUCUAUAGGACACCUUGUCGACAUUCCCAAGUACGGGGAAGGGUCCUUCAUACCUCCUCAUAAGGCCCUUAUGCACUAACCUUAAGGAUUUGAAUUGUUGAGAAAUGAGCUUGAAAGCACCAUGUCUCCGACUUUGUACUCCGUGUGUUGUCGCUUCUUGUCAGCCCACUUCUUCAUUUUCUUAGCGGCCUUGUCCAAGUAUGAGCGUGAUAUGUCAGCUUGCUUGUGCCACCCUUUCGCGAACUUGAAAGCUGCUGGACUUCUCCCCGUAUAGCCUAUCGUUAGAGUGUGAGGAGUUAACGGUUGCUGCCUUGUGGCCAACUCGAAUGGGCUCUUAUUGGUUGCCUCACUCCUUUGCAGGUUAUACGAGAAUUGGGCUAUGUCUAGCAACUUAGCCCAAUCCUUCUGGUUGGCACUCAUGAAGUGCCUUAAGUAUAGCUCCAAUAAAGCGUUCACCCUCUCAGUCUGCCCAUCCGUCUGUGGGUGAAAGCUUGUGGAGAAGUGAAGCUCCAAACCCAUAAGCUUGAAGAGCUUCAUCCAAAACUUCCUAGUAAAACGCGAAUUGCAAUCACUUUAGGCAACCCCCAAUACUUGACUACGUGCUUUAGGAAUAGCCUCGUCGUCUCUUCCGCAGUGCGGUCAGUCGGGGCUGCUAUGAAGGUUGCAUACUUAGAGAACCUGUCCACUACCACUAUGAUAGAACCGCUGUCCUCCGACUUGGGUAGCCCGAUGAUGAAGUCCAUGGUGACAUUGUCACAUGGGCGCUCUGCUAUAGGUAGUGGCUUCAACAGGCCUCUAGGUUGUUGUUGUUCCACCUUGUCUUGUUGGCACACAAGACAAGUCCUCACAUAGGCCUCUACCUCAUCCCGUAUUUGAGUCCAGUAAUAAGCCGACUCGAGUAGUGCCCUCGUGCGUCGUUGCCUAGGGUGCCCAGCCCACUUGGUGUCAUGGCACUCAUUUAUCAGAUUCCGUCUUAUGUUCCCCCAUUUAGGCACAUAGAGUCGUCUCCCCUUAGUGUAGAGUAGGUCGUUCUCCACCCAGAACCGCUUAGUCUUCCCUUCAUGAGCUAGGGCGAUGAGGCUCUUAGCCACUGGAUCAUGUUGUAGUCCCUCCCUUAGAAGAUCCAUUAUGUCUCCUUGGGGUUGACUCGUCAUGGAUGCUAGCUCCGUUUUACAGCUUAGGGCGUCAGCCACAUGAUUAGCACUCCCUGGCUUAUACUCCAACGUAUAGUCGAACUCAGCCAGGAAGUCUUGCCACCUAGCUUGCUUAGGACUCAACUUCUUCUGUGUUUGGAAGUAGCUAGUGGCAACGUUAUCGAUCUUCACUAUGAAGUGAGACCCUAGAAGAUAGUGCCUCCAGGUGCGCAAGCAGUGGACGAUGGCGGUCAUCUCUUUUUCUUGCACCGUAUAGCACAUCUCUGUGUCGUUUAGCUUGCGAAUCUCAAAUGCGAUCUGGUGUCUUUCUUGCAUAAGGACUCCCCCAAUAGUGAAGUGUGAGGCAUCUGUGUGUAUCUCAAAAACCUUGGUGUGGUCGGGUAGUGCUAACACCGACUCCUCAGUCACAGCCUUCUUAAGAUCUUUAAAGGCUUGUUGGCACCUUUCGUUCCAUUCUCAUGCCUUAUUCUUCUUAAGGAGAUCAGUGAGAGGAGCGACCCUUGCUAAAUAACCUUUGAUGAAUCGCCGAUAGUAAUUAACUAAACCAAGGAAAUAUCUGAGCUAAGGUACCUUGGUUGGUGGAUCCCAUUCCUGGAUGGCUUUCACCUUGCUAUCAUCCAUCUUCAGCUUGCCAUCCUUGAUGCGAUGCCCUAGGAAGCUCACUUCUUUUUUAACAAAGGAGCAUUUUUCCUUCUUCACGUAUAGCUUGUUCUGCCUUAAGAUCUUAAAGACCUUCCUCAAGUGCUCUACGUGCUUCUUUAGGGUGUUACUGUAGAUGACUAUGUCAUCCAAGUAUACCACCACGAACUUGUUGAUUACUACUCAAAAAGUGCUAUUUGAUAGCUUAUAAUUAAUCCUUUUAAACACUUUUGAGUAGUAAUUUUGGCCUUUUAACUCAAUUGGCAUGUUAAGGACCCUUGAAAGCAAUUUUAAUCAUUUUGUGUAAGUUUUGGUGUUUUUUUGUUAGUAAUUUGAUCACCAAAGCAAUUCAAGAUUGAGGAGAGUUAUGAGAAAUCUUGGGCAAAGCUUGGAAGUCAUUUGCCAAGAGUAAAUCAGGAAUGCAAGGAGAAAAAGUUAAGAGAAUCUGCCAUGAAGCAUAUUCUUGAUGACAGUAGUAGCAGCCACUUUUGGAGCACUUUUUGAAGUCCAAUUGAUGCAUGCUAUAUACCAUUUCAAAGCUUAGGAAGUCAAAAAUCCAAUGCUUUAAACGGUACGCAAUUCGGAGUUGAAACGAAGAAGUUGCAGCCAUUGCAAGCCAAUCACUCCAAGCUGAAUGAAGCAUUUUCCAAAGUGUUGCGAAAUCACCCUUUUGUUGCGAAGUGAUUUCGCAGCCUUUUUGUACAGUAGGGUGUAUUUCCUUCUGAAGUUGCCCGAUAUAUGCCGCAAGCUGGAAGCUGAGAACAUCAAGGUGGAAGCCAACUUCGCAGCCCUGCGAGAAUAGCUUUUUGCUCCGAAGUGAUUUCGCAGCCCUUCUUGAGUGUCUGCGAAAUCUCGCAGACACCAUUUUCUCUUGCGAAAUGGUCCCUGGAGCAUCCCGAUAUUUGCUACCGACAUUGGGAGAUAUUUUACAUCAGAUUUUUGUUGUCUAAAUCCCAAAAUACUCCUUGUAAGCCACCAAUUACAAGAUUCCUUAGCUUUUAAGUUAGUAAAAAGAGAAAAUAUCCAUGUAAUAAUUAGUUUUAUAUUAUGUUCAUAUGAAUACUUCUCGGGAGCCUGUUCUCAAAAAGGGACCCUUUUGUAAAGUUUUGGGAAAGCAAGUAAAGUUCAGGUCCUUUGUUUUGUCUUACCUUCUCACUUUGUAUUAUUUAUUUCUUACUAAGUUAUGCACUCUCUGAGGAAUUUUCCCCAGAGAAUGAGUAACUAAACCUCUAGUUCCUUGGAGCUAAGGUUGCCGGGGAAGGUUCCAAAUGCAAGAAUGCAAAGCUUUGUGGUUUCAGCCAUCAAUUAAGAGGAAGUGAAGUUUUUUAGUGAUUUCUAUGUUUUUAGUUAACUUAAAACACCUUAGAGUCACCUGGGCCAACACUUGGUAAGGCAAGUGAUCUCCAUCCAUGGAGAUGCACUAGUUUACCCCUUGCGAGCCUCUGGGAGAUGACUUUAAGGUAGGAUUUUCUGGAAUUGCCAACACUUGGUAAGCUUUUGGACUCCAAGGAGACAUCCAUUAGUUAUCUCUUGCGAGCUAGAGAAGGGAAGUCCAAGGUUAAAGAUCACCUUGAAUGGUUAAGGCUUAGUGAGAGGCUUAAACCAUUGCAAGUUGCAUCAAUGAGAGAAUUAAAGUUGAAAUCUAAUUAAAGGAUGUAUCUGUACAACACCGGUUAGAGAAUUGACUAUAUGUUGAAUCUCUAAUGCGAGGAAAUGAACCAUCUGACCGGAGCUAUGUCUUUUGCAUGAGGAACCACCCCAGUGAACCUAACUCUCCAAGGAAUGUUUUUCUUCCUAAGUUAUUCUCACUACUUAUUCUGUUAGUUAGUUUAAAUCUAAAUCUUUACCAAUCAAAAGGUUGUGUUUUAUUUUUUUAGCUAACCUUGAAAUGAAACAAGACCAAUUCACUUUGAAUUGGUAUCAUUGAUAGCUUGCUAAUCCUUCCCAGUGAACGAUCCUAGAGCCGCUAUAUUAUAGUAGCUUUUUCUUUGCUACCCUAGUAUAUGGUGUAAUAGGUUAUAAAUUUUGUUGAUUACUCCCUCAAUCAAGGAGCACCAGCUGGACACGAAUCAGCUGAGACACCAAUUGGGCACAAAUCACUUGUCUAAGCAUGGGUGGAAGAUCUUGUUCAUGAGGGUGCAGAACGUUGCUGGGGCAUUGGUGAGUCCGAAAGGCAUCACUAAGAAUUCGUAUGAGCCAUACCUGAUCACACAUGUGGUCUUUGGCUCGUCCCCCUCUGCAAUCCUUACUUGGUAGUAGCCCGACCUUAGGUCUAGCUUCGUGAAGUACCUUACCCUUCCAAGUUGAUCGAAUAAGUCAGCAAUGAGCGGGAUAGGAUACUUGUUCUUUACCGUCACCUUGUUGAGUGCCCGAUAGUCUAUGCACAUUCGUAGGGACCCAUCAUGCUUCUUCUGAAAUAGAACCGGCGCGCCAUAGGAAGCCUUGGAUGGUUGGAUGAACCCCUCAUCUAGUAACUCCUUAAGUUGUCUCCUUAGCUCCUCCAACUCCGGUGGUGCCAUUCUAUAUGGCCCAUAGUAGGGGGCUUAGCUCCCGACUCCAACUCAAUCCUGUGAUCUUCCUCUCUCCUAUGAGGAAGUCUCUUAGGCAACUCGGGCGACAUCACGUCCUUGAACUCAUCAAGGACCCCCUCGAUUUCCUUAGGCAUGGGUUCUCCCGACCCAUCGUCUCUUUCUUCCUUCAGGGUGGCGAGGUAGGUCACCUCUUUCCUCUUUAACCCCUUCCUAACUUGCAUAGCUGAUAGCAUAGGGGUCUUAAGCGUACCUUCAGUGACCGUAGGGACCAUGCAUGGCUUCUCCUCCUCUAAGAUAGCCAUUGAGCAUAGGAAAGGUAGUGGCACGACCUUGACCUUCUGUAGGAAGUCCAUUCCUAGCACCAUCUUGAAGUUAUCCAUGGGUGCCACUAUGAAAUCGACCCUUCCUUCCCAUGAGCCGAUGUGCAUAGUCACCCUACAAGCUACUCCAUGUGACGGGCUUGGCAGCUGAAUUAACUGCCUUGAGUCAUCCUCCUUCCUUAGAUGCUUGGAGCUUUAGUCUCUUUGCCUCAUCCUCCGAGACAAAGUUAUGAGUGGCACCAGUGUUCACCAAGGCCUUGGUGGCCUUCCCAUUCACAAGGGCCUCUACAUACAUUAGCCCUUUGCUUUGAGGCGUCUUAGGCAUCGGCUUGGCCUUAAGGGCAUUUAGGAGUUGCAACGAUCCCACUUUAGCAUCGCCUUCCUGCUCAUUUUCCUCAAUCAUAGCAUUUAGAGCUUUCCUCUUAGGGCAGUCUCAUGCCCAGUGUGUACCAUCGCACAGGAAGCAAUUGGUCCUGGGCAUGAACUCCUUCCACUUAUCUUUGCCUUUACCAUCCUUGCCACUAGGGCCUUUGCUUGAUCCUUCCUUAGAAGUGUGGCAUCGUGAUCCAUUGUCUCCCCCACCUUUGGCCUGGUUACCCUUGGAUGGUGGUUUUGGCUUGGAGGAGUCUCCCCUUCUAUAAUCUACCAAGGACUCUGCUACCGCCAUGGUCAUGGCUAGGUCUUAGACACCAUGUCUCCUCAACUCUUGCUCGACCCAACUUUGCAAGUUGUCCAUAAAGUUAAAUAGUAGCUCCUCCUCAACCAUGUUAGGUAUCUCAAGCAUAAACGUAGAGAACUCCUUGACAUAAUCACGGAUCGAGCCUGUGUGCUUGAGACGCUUCAUACUCUUCCUUGCUAGGUAAGCCACAUCUUCGGGAUAGAAUUGUCUUUUGAUUUCUCUCUUAAAGGCAUCCCAUGUGUCUAUGGUGCACGUCUCUUUCUCUAUGUCGGAAAACUGUCGACGCCACCAUAGAGUAGCAUUAUCGGUGAGGUAAAGGGUCGCGGUGCAUACCUUAGUGGCUUCAUCCGUCAAUGCAAUGGCCUCAAAGUAACGCUCCAUGUGCCACAAGAAGUUAUCUAGCUCCUUAGCAUCCCUCUUGCCAUUGAACGAGUGUGGCUUGGGCACCUCCACCCUUGGUGCCUCAUGAGUGGCCAUGACUCAUGCUGAUAUCGCAGUCUUGUAGAUGGCUAGCUCUUGAUGAAUCUCUUGGUCUCGGGUCUCCAUGAGCGCAGCCAAGGCCUCCAUCCUUGACUCCACACUAGCGAACAUGAUCAUGACCUUGUCUUGGAAGGACAUGAACUCCUCGUGUGACACGGUUGAACUUGUGAGCCUAGCACCCCCUCGCGAAGGUCUUGGAUCUGCUCCCUUAGAUCCUCUAAGCCUUUCUCCAUGCCUUGCUCGAUCAAGUCCACCCCUUCCCGGGUGUCCGUCAUGGCUAGCUCCACCUUAGCUAGCCUUGCCUCCAUGUUGGCUAAGGCAUCACGAGACUUAUCCUUCCUGCCUCGGCCCCGUGCAGUAUGCUCCAUCUCCCUUCCAUGGGUUUGCUCGCUAGUCUCCUCCACGUUAGAGCCCGACAUGCUUCCUUUGCUAUGCCCACUUCGUAACCGCCCUCUAAUACCACUUGUCACAGACUUAGUUGUUCACUAAGCUCGUGCAGCACUUAGGCAAGUCAAGACGCUUGAUCUUGCUAAGUCAACCUUGCUCCCAAUGCUUAGCUUGCUAGGCUAAGAUGUUCACGACUCGAAAGCUUAAAAAGCUUAGUAGGCAACUCUUUAAAGAAUGGAAGCUCUUAUUAACUCAUGGAAGCCUUUACAAAUGCUUGGAAGCUCACUUGCUUGGUGCCUUGGCCAAAUGAGGCCCUCACCUAUUUAUAGGCACCAAUGGAACUCUCUGCAACCUUGGAGGGUUCCUUACAACUCAAGUAUAUUCUAGAAAGUCCUACAUCAUUCUAGGUACAAGCCUAUGUACAACGAUAUACAAGAGACUUCUGGAAUUCUCUAGAAAGCCUUGGACUCCUCUCAUGCCUUCCACCAUAGUGUAGAAUUGUGUGGAUUCCUCCAAGCUUCUCCACAACCUUCCACACUCUUCCCACUCUAGGAGUCUCCAUAAGCUUCCUAGCUCUAUGUAAGCCCAUGGGGAGGCUCAUUUGAAUCAGCUUGUGACAAUAAGCUUGACAUUGGCAGUCACUAAGGCAAGCCUUUUUGCAAUAUUGAUUAUCAUUCGUAUCUACUAAAAUAGAAGACUACGGUUUUUUGGCUUUCAUCAUUUUUAAGCGCAAGAACAUGUCUUCAAUGGAAUUCUUCUUGUAUUUGGGUGACUUUCUGGUACACCCACUUGAGAACUCUCCAAUUUUCCAACUAUUCGGCGAGAUUGGUUUGAACCCAGGCAAACAUUUUCACAUCAAAGCAUUCUUAGUGCUACAACUUCCAAAUUUCCCACAAGUAAUUGACACACUGCAUCGGUCUUUCGGUGCCCACCAGACUGGAGACGAUGUAUUCCAAUUCGCAUAGUAUUGAAUUUCCCCUAAAGAACUCAUUACCAACUGUUUUUCAACUGAUGAGUUGGGGAUAGAGCUAUGCCCUUUAUACACGUUCCUCUAGGAGAUUUUGGACAACAAGCUGCGUGUUGCUUCAGGCAUCUCAUCAAACGUUCCAUCCCAGUCCUCACUGUACCAAUGUACAUAUAAAAUUUGAGAUAUGAUAUACUGGUACUCUUUUUCUUGAUCUAGCUUGAAGGUAUAGUUUCCAGGUGUGGCGUCAAUGGGGCUUAACCAUGAGGUCAAUAUUAAGCUUUCAUUCAUCUUCAUACCAGGAAGAAAAAUAUCAGUGGGAUUACGGAAGCUCUCCCAAAUAAUCUCUUCAGAUCUAUUGCCACUCAAAACAAGGUUCCCAUAGUCCAUAAGCUUCACCAUCCUGUCUUUAGAUGAAGGUGUUUCAAUAUCAGUAGACCAGUGAACUGCUCCAUUAAUUUCGGCCAACACCUUCAGCUUACCAUCUUUUUUAAUGGCAAAAACUCCAAUGGAGGUACCAGAAAAGGGGUUCUCUCGGUUGGCUACCCACACAACUCUUGGUGGUUUAGACAUGUGAUGCCAUAUGCCCAUGAAUCUUCUAUUCUUGGAGCUUCCAUUUGGAUGAAAGAAGCCUAGUUCAAAAGUUUCACCGGAAGAGACAAGAGUUUCUCCAUUAGUAAGCCAAGUGUCUAGUGUGAUGGUGUGUCACGCCCCAAGACCCACUCCAAGGGCGUGACGGUCAUUUCACACCUCAAACCCGAAGGCUUAAAGUAUAAUCUGACCCAAACAGUCAUAUUGUAACUGGAUGUUACCAAUUACCAAAUACCUGCUCAGAGUAGCGGAAACAAAGUCUAAAAUCCUCAAAAUUCAAUUUCCAAAUAACUUCCAAAUACAAAAUGAUCCAAAAUAACAUAACUAAUAGUUAAACAAAAUCCAACAUAAAAUCCUAAGUCAAAUCCUAAUGAUGACCAUUCCUCAGCCUAGCCAUCACUCCUCACCCGAACUAAGAGUACCUGAAAAAUUUUCAACAAUUGGGAAUGAGCUCACAGCCCAAUAAGGAAUAUUAAUGCAGUUCAUGGAUCAAAUAUUUUCAUUUCAAAUAGGAGAUAUCAAAUUUUAUUUUAUUUUUUCAUCAAAUAUCAGAGUUUCAAAAAUGCCAAUAUAUUCAAAAUUCAACCAACCAAUUUCAUAUCAAAUUCAAACACUUUCCCAUCAAACUCAAUCAAAUCCAUUCAAUUUUUCAUUACUCUGGUUAUCAAAUAUCAAAUGCCCAGUUAGGUGGGACUUUUCAAAUGGGUGGCUGGCCUCAAAUUGUUCUUGGUGGACGGAACCAAACACUACUAGUACUAGUAACCUCUAACCAAACCCCUAGAGGUUGGGGUCCAAAUCAAUUACAUUCCCACCAUGAAAUGUAAAGGUCAACUAUUAUAUCCCGUUGACAGGGCCGAAUAGUCAACUAUUAUAUCCCGUUGACAAGGGCCAAAUAAACCAGAGUGAUGUUUUUUGUUCAAGUAUUCAAAUUUACACAACAUAAUAUCUCCAUAUUUUGUGUCAUAAAUAAAACAAAAUAUUCCAACAUAACAUUUAAUGCAAAACAAUUUGAUCCAUGCAUGGUAACAAAAUAUCAUUUUAUUUUCCACAAUUCAAAAUAACAUAUAAAAUAAUUUAAUUUUAUAAAUAUUACAUUAACUUCCCUUACCUCAAAAGAAGUCCUUGAAAGCUUGGGAGAAGAAUGAUUCUGAAAAAAAAUAUAAUCUACUCUUCACCUAAUAUAACAUAAGAGAAACAAUUAUUACUAUUUAUUUAUAAUUUAACUAAUCUAUUCCUUAUUUAAAUAAAACUAAUAAAUUCCCAAUUUGUUUCUAAUAACACAUUACUAAUUUAAUUAAAUUACAAUUUUAUGUCAUUAUAAAAUUCUAUAUAUAUAUAUAUAUUUUGCUAAAUCUAUUAUUACUAUUAUCUUAUUCAUUAAUCUAAAACUAAAUAUUAUUAUUUUAAUUAACCAAUUCAAAAGCCACUAGAUGUCUCGAGUACACCAAACCAAAAAGCAAGUUUUUUUUUUUUUUCCAUUACAUCAUCAUUCAUUAUAUAUAUAUAUAUAUAUAUAUAAAAGGCUUCCUUCCAUUUGGCACAUGCCUAUUUUUUUUUUUUUUCCUCCUUGCUUCUAGUAGCACAGUACACGUACGCCCCCCAUAUAUUUUUCUUUUUUUCUUCCUUCCUUCCUUCCAGUGCUGUGCACACGCGUUCUCCCUCUUUUUUUUUUUUUUUUUUUAAUUAACCCUAACCUAAAAUCGAAAUAUUCCAAGGAAUUUUAUUUUUUCUAAUAAAACUUAAGAUCUCCCAAAUUCCAAUGCUAAAAUCAAAAUAUUAAAUUUUCACUAUUUGAUAUUAAAACGAAUUAAAAAAUAAUCUAACCCUAAUCUAGAUUUGGGGUUUUCCAAAAAAAUAUAUCUAAUGUGUUUGAAAUUAAUCAAUGAAUCUAAAAUAUUAAACUAGGGGUUAGAAUCUUACCUAUAGAGAUCUGUUCUUCAACCCUGAAAUCUGACUCCAACCUUACGUUCUCUGGAAUUCUGCGAACAGGAACUAUAUUCAGAAAAGAAGGGAAAGAAUAAAAUUUCUAAUUUAUACCUAGGGUAUUUAUUCGUAAAAUUACUCUUUUACCCCUCUUCUUUUUUUUAUUAAAUUAAUUAAUUAACUAAUUUAAUUAUUAAUAAUAAUUUCCUAAAUUACCCUUAAAAGAAAAUGCUUGGGCGUUACAUGGUGUCUCUAGUAGAGCAACACAGAAAAUAACACAAUAAGAAAAAGAUGGUAGAUAACAUUGUGAAUUGCAGAGACUGAAACCCUGAAUUUUCUUGUCUUUUGCCUAUUGUUUUUGUUAAUCCGAGAAUCUCUUUAGUUUUGGUGCCACAAAUUCACUAUGGGAUAGCGUGCUACUUCUCUAGGUUGACCUUCUAUAUGUGGUGCCUAAAACAUUGGCCCCUUAGAUUAACUUUUUAAUUGUCUUAAACCAUUUUUACCGCAGGUCCAUACUCCGGGACAAGCCCCCACACCCCCAUCGGAUCAGUGGUGAUAGGCCCAAUCCCCCUGUUAGACCCUAAAAAAAAUCUCAUAGUUUUUUUUUCACCAUAUAUAUUGUAUUGCGAAAUUUUCAAGUCUGACAAAAUAAAAUUCGAGUCACGAAUCUUUAAUAGUUCUCAUCAAGAAAUGAGAUGGAAAUGUUUCAGCUAGUGAAAAUCUACAUCAAGAGGCUUUUUGGGAAGACAAAUAUAAAAAUACAUCUAAACAUCAUUAAACUUCAUGAUUCUAAUACACAUCAUGGGAUGAAUUCUCAAUCAUAUAUAGGUGAGUAUCACAUAUAUAUAUAUAUAUAUAUAUAUAUAUAUAUAUAUAUAUAUAUAUAUAUAUAUAUAGGUUUAACACACAAUGCUACAUAAUGUGGUGGAUAAAUAUGCAUGUCAAAUUGAUCAUAGUUGUAAAAUUGUUAGCUAGAAACUAAAAAUUUCUAAUCUGAUUCCUAAGUGCUUCUUUUUUUUUCUUUUUCUUUUUUUUAAAAAAAAACAAAAAAUGAUAAUAAUUUCUACAUAAAAUGUAAAAAUUAUCGUAAAAAAUUAAUAACAUUCAAUUUAGAAAAUUUUAAGAUAUUAUAUAAAACAAAUUCACCAUCUUAACAUUUAAAAGUAAUUUUUAAAGAUAUAAGAUAAGUUCAUAUUAUUUAUAUAAAAACUAUUUUAUAAUUUACAUAGAAAUUAUAUAUAUAUAUAUAUAUAUAUAUAUAUAUAUAUUGAAUUGGGUUAUUUCACAAUAUUGGAGCAUAGUUUACCUUAGGUGAUUAAAGAUGUGAUACAGUAUAGUUUUUAGGAUAGAUGUGAUAAUUUAUAAUUGAAGUUUUGAUAUGGGCUAAUUAGUAAUAUUAAACAAAGGAUAAUGUUUUUUCAUAUUCUUAGAUUUAAUUUUUGGUGAAAAUAAUUAAGAGUAAGUAUUUGAUAGUGAUUUUAAGAAAUGUUUUUAGUCUUUUUAAUACUUGAAAAAGAAAAUUUUUCAAGUGUUAGAAAAACCAAAAAUACCUUUUAGAAACAGUACUAAACAUAUUCUAAAUAUGUACUCAAUAAUCGAUUUAAUAAAUUCACGGGUGUCAAAAUAAAUAUGACAUCAAGAUAUGUUAAUAAAUUUUUUUUUUUUUUUGAAAAAUAAUUCAACAUAUUUAUUGAAUUCACAUUCAAGACAAGGUCGCCUGUAACAUAGGUGCAUGGCUGUCCAUUUAUUCCCAAUUGCCUUAGACAAACAUCCCCUUACUCUUAAGUCAUUUUGCUUUUUUUUUUUUGUGAUUGCAUGUUGAAAAUUUGAUUUUAACAUGAGUCCACUAGGAGUUCAGGACAUCUAUUAAUUAAUGGGGGCAGUUCUCGACCUCCAUGGCCUGCCUACUAAUUUUGGUGGGUUGCUCACAGGUGACGUCUGACUUAAAAUACGUCCAUCGCCCAACUUACUAUUCAUGGACAAACAAAAUAUUAGUAAUGUACCAAUCAUCUUGUAUAUGUAGUAACAUUUUCAAAUUUUUAAUCUAAACCUUGGUGUAAAUAAUUAAAUUUAAAUAAAUUAAUUAAAAUGUAUAUUUAAUUUUUUUUUCACCCGCAAUUGAAGGCCGGUGGAGUGGUGAAAUCUUGGAAAUGGAAGCCAACCAUGCAGCAAAUAAAGUGACCCAAAGUCCAAGACCACGUUUAGAGCAUUUGUCCAUUUUUACUUGUUUUCAACGGCUUCUAGUCUUGAAGUUGAAAUCUGCGGUUUCAUAAACGGUAUUCUGAAUUUUCUCUCUUGCGUUCUGUUUUUCACAUUUUCCAGGAAAUGGGACCUAUUUGUUUGGCUAUCAACAAUGAGUUUCGUGUCAGAAUCUGUAAAAGAACUAGAACUUGCAGAGAAAAAAUAAAUAAUUUGAGAGUUACGAAUUGAAGGAAGGCACACAUCUAUUUCACAAAUGAGAAUGCCUAUUUAUAGGCUUACAACCAAACGAAAAUUGCAAAAAAAAUCUUAGCUAUUUUCAAAUUUUAUUGGCAUUACUUCUAUUAACUGAAAAUAGAAAAUUAUGGAGUAAGAAUCUGAUAUGAAACAAUAACAAAGACUAAGUCUAACUAAGACUUUUUCAAACUUCAAAGGCAAACUCUCAUGAGUUCUAACACUCCUCCUUGAGAUUUGCCUUGGACAUGCCAAGCUUCAACCUUAGAAACUCCAGCCUUGAUUUAGGAAGUGCCUUAGUCAUUAUGUCAGCAAGUUGCACAUCAGUUGAGCAAUAAUGCAACUUGACAAGUGAAUUCUUUUUAGCUUCCCUUAUAGAAUGAAAUUUUACAUUUAUGUGUUUGGUCUUGCCAUAUUAGACAGAAUUUUGAGCAAUGGCAAUGGUUGACUUGUUGUCACAGUAAAGCUCUGUUGGUGAGCUUUAUUCCUAGCCUAGAUCAGCAAGCAAUUUCCUUAACCAUAUCCCUUGAUUUGCAACAGCUGCUAAGGAGAUAUACUCAGCUUCUGCAGUUGAUUGUGCCACUACUUCUUGUUUUCUUAAAUUCCAGCAAAUGACACCUGAACCGAUUGUAAAUACAUAACCUGAAAUGUUCUUCAUGUCAUCAACACUUCCUGCCCAAUCACUAUCAACAUAGCCAUCUAGCUUAACUCCUCCUGUCUUUAAAUACCAAAUGCCAAGAUUUGUUGUACCUCUAACAUACUUCAGCACCCUUUUUGCAACUCCCAUGUGAACAUUGCUAGGUGAACUCAUGAAUCUUGAAAGUAAACCAGCUAGAAACAUCAAGUCAGGUCUGGUUGCUAUCAAGUAUAGUAGGUUGCCUACCAAGCUUCUAUAUGCAGAGGGUUCCUUAAGUUUCUCACCAUCAUUCUUUGAAAUUUUCUCAUUUUGUGCCAUUCCAAGGAAGUAGUUCAUGAUGCCAAGGUCAGACAUCUCAAAUACAUCUUGCAUUUCCAUUUUGAACUCAGCCAGCAAUCGUACAUUACUUCCAGUCACUAGCAUGGCAUCAACAUAAAGUGACACUACCAAUUGCAAACCAUUCUCAUUUUGUUUCAAAUACAAAGUAGCUUCAUUUUCACUCCUCCUAAAUCUAAGUUGGAUCAGGUGAGAGUCAAUUCUGAUAUACCAGGCCCUUGGUGCUUGUUCCAAACCAUAAAGAGCCUUUUGCAACUUGUACACUUUGUGUUCAUGCCUAGUAACCUCAAAGCCUUCUGGUUGUUGAACAUAAAUUUCUUCAAGAAGUAUGUCAUUUAGAAAAGCUAACUUGACAUCUAAAUGGUACANNNNNNNNNNNNNNNNNNNNNNNNNNNNNNNNNNNNNNNNNNNNNNNNNNNNNNNNNNNNNNNNNNNNNNNNNNNNNNNNNNNNNNNNNNNNNNNNNNNNAGCCUUGUGCUUGAAGAUUAAACCAUCUGAAUUGAAUUUGGUUCUGAAAACCCAUUUUACACCAAUUGUCUUCUUAGCUUCAAGUAAUUCUGUCAACUUCCAAGUUCUAUUUCUUUCAAUAACAUCAAUUUCAGCUUUCAUAACCUCAAUCCAUUCUAGAAAUCUUGCAACUUCUAUGUAACAUGUAUGCUCAACAUGUACAAGAUUGCACCUCUCAUACACAUUAGAUAAUGGCCUUACCUUAAGCACUGGUAUGUCUAAAGUUGCUUCAACAUCAAGUGGAUCUUCUGCUGGUUCAAGAAUAGAUGGAGUGGUUUGAUCACAUUUAUGGACUUUCUUCAAGUCCCAAUUCCAGUAGGAAUUUUCAUCAAAGUGCACAUCUCUACUUAUCACAAUUUUCAUUCUACUCAAGCUAUAAAUUCUGUAACCUUUUGAUUCUGCUGCAUACCCAACAAAAACACCCUUCUCAGCUCUUUCAUCAAGCUUACCUCUCUUGAUAGAUGGCACAUGAAGGUAACACAAUGAAUUAAACACUUUUAGGUGCUUGACAGAUGGUUUUACACUAGACCAUGCCUAUAUUGGUGUUUUGCUCUUAACAGACUUAGUCGGUAGUCUGUUAAGCAAAUAUACUGAGGUGCUAACUACUUCAGCCCAUAGAAGCUUUGGUAGCUUCUUCUCGAGUAGCAUGCACCUCGCCAUCUCCAUUACCGUUCUGUUCUUCCUCUCAGAGACUCCAUUCUACUGCGAUGAGUAUGGAGCUGUCAGUUGGUGUACAAUUCCAACUUCUAGACAAAAAACAUUGAACUCUUUUGAGGUAUAUUCACCUCCAUUAUCAGUUCUGAGCACCUUAACCUUUUGGCCACUUUGAGUUUCAACCAUUUUCUUGAAGCUUUUGAACACAGAGAGCACUUGUGAUUUGGUUUUUAGAAAAUAAACCCAAGUCAUUCUAUUGAAAUCAUCAAUAAAUAGUGCAAAAUAAACAUUGUUGCUCAAUGAGGCUAUGCUCAUUGGUCCACAAAUAUCUGAAUGAACUAAUUCCAUCUUGUGAGUAGCUCUCUUGGACAUAUUUUGAGGAAAUGAUUUGCGAUGCUGCUUCCCUAGCUCACAACUUUCACAAGUUUGAUCAUUAACUGUGAUUUCAGGCAUGUCUUCAACCAUACUUCUUGCAUGAACUUCAAUGACUUCAAGUUGAAAUGACCAUAUCUUUUGUGCCAAACAGCAUUCUCAUCAAUCUUGGCACUAAAGACAUGACCUUCAACUAAAUCAAGCUUCAAAUAAAAGUUAUUUCCAUUCAUUUUAAUUUUUGCUAUCUCUGUUCCAUGUACAUCAGUGAUAAAACAAAAAUUUUCUUUAAAAGAGACUGCAUAUCCAUUUCUUAGCAUUUGUGUAACACUAAGAAUAUUUUGAUCUAGUUUUGGAAUGUAAAGAACAUUAGUGACAAUUUUUGUACCUCUCUUGGUGCUGAUAGCAAUUGUCCAUUUUCCUUUGGCCUGCACAACUUCACCAUUUCCCAACUUGACCGUUGCUUGAAUUGAUUUAUCAAUGGAGGUAAAAAUUGAUAGAUGUUUGGUCAUGUGACUGGUGCAGCCAUUGUCAAUGAGCCAAGUAUUCAGUUCAUGAGAACUGAGUACUUGUGAUGCCAUAAAUAAAUGCUUAUCAUCUUUUUUGUCUUCUUCAAUCACAUUUGCAUGUUGUUGUGUUUGCUGUUGAGAUUGUUUUUUCUUGGCUCUACAAUACUUCUCACUGUGGCCACAUUUAUUACAGAAAUUACAAUUAAAAAGGGAUUUACCUUUGUACCAACAAUCUUUCUCAACAUGGUUGGUUCUGCUGCAAUNNNNNNNNNNNNNNNNNNNNNNNNNNNNNNNNNNNNNNNNNNNNNNNNNNNNNNNNNNNNNNNNNNNNNNUCAAAAAGCACCUUCAGUAGCUUCAACACCUUUCAUUAAGACCCUUUGCUCCUGCGCAUGAAGCUUGCUGGUUAAUUCUGCAAUUGUGAGACUUUGCAAGUCACAAGACUCUUCAAUUGUAGAGAUCUUGGCUUCAAACUUUUAAGGCACUGAAACCAUGAUCUUUUCUACCACCUUUUGAUCUGUAAAUGCCUCACCAAGAAGCCUCAUUUGGUUUACAACAUCCAUUAACUUGCUAGAAUAAUCUUUCACAGAUUCAUUGUCUUUCAUCUUCAUCAAUUCAAACUCUCUCUUCAAUGUGAGGAGCCUGACAUUUUUUACUGUCACUACCAUCAAAUUCACCUUGGAGUUUGUCUCAUACCAGUUUAGGUGUUUCCAAGUCCAUGAUUUUGGUGAAGAUGUGGUCUACAAGUCCUGAAUGUAGGCAGGUGAUGGCUUUGUCUUUCUUAAGUUUUUCCUCCUCAUAUGCUUUCAUCUGAGCAACUGUAGGAUUUGCUCCCAAUGGUGGUGGAUCAGCUUCAAACAUCACAACAUUCCACAAACCUUGAGACCUUAAGUAAAACCUCAUCUUGUCAACCCAAAUGUGAUAGUGUUCACCAUUAAACACUGGAAUAACAGAGGAAGUACUGCUGGAAGUAGACAUGUUUGCACCACAACUGCCUGAAAAAAAAUAAAUCACUCAACCUCACUGUGUUUAGCACUCAAAACACUCAAAGAAACUUUGCCUCACAACUCGUAGGAACAAGGCUCUGAUACCACUGUCAGAAUCUGUAAAAUAACUAGAAUUUGCAGAGAAAAAAUAAAUAAUUUGAGAGUUAAGAAUUGAAGGAAGGCACACAUCUAUUUCACAAAUGAGAAUGCCUAUUUAUAGGCUUACAACCAGACAGAAAUUGCAAAAAAAUCUCAGCUACUUUCACAUUUUAUUGGCACUACUUCUACUAACUGAAAACAGAAAAUUAUGGAGCAAGAAUUUGAAACAAUAACAAAGACUAAGUCUAACUAAGACUUUUUCAAACUUUAGAGGCAAAUUCUCAUGAGUUCUAACAUGGCAUAUGGGUUUUGGGUUUUUCAAUUGAGGGAAGCCUAUCAUAGCAUUUAAAAAUGGAUCCCCAUAGUGGCCAACACCAUAGGAUGAUAAUUCAUCAUGGUUCUUAAUCAUGAUCUUUAUUAAAUAGAUCAAACCCAAGUACGAUACAGAUAAUAAUCGGAUUAGAAAAACAUAAAUUCAUCUAAUUAUUUAAUAAACAAUAAGUCGUAUAAUUCAUUUAAUUAAUCUAAUAAUCAUACAGAAUUAGGUCUUAUACAAAUCUACACGAUUAAUUUCUUAAUCUAAUAUGUUUAUAAUUCAAUUAAUUUAUUUAUUUAAAAUCAAUUUUUAAAUAAAUCAAAUAUAAGUUAAAUGAGUUAGGGUUAAUCAUAUUAAUCAGUAUGAUUAUCAAGUUGGUCAAUUAGGAUCAAAAUUGUGUUUGACUAAUUUAUUUAAAAAUAACUUAUUUAUUAAAUGAGUUAUACAUAUUAACAUAAAUUUAAUCCUUAAACCCACAAAAAAUAAAUUGAAUUUGAGUCAUGUUAACGAAAUAUAUUACACUUUUGACACUCGUAGUCUACGUAAAGAAAAGAUGUUGCAUCUUGCCAUUAGCUAAGCUUAGAGCAUCCAACAACUGACUAUAAGGGUCCAUAUCUUAGGCUAAAUUGAAUGAAAGCAUUAUAUUAUACAAAACCCCCUAUGCUGAUGAUGGUGCAAACACCAAAUUUGAUUUCCCAAAGUUGUAUAAUAAUGUAUUAGUUGUGUCUGUUGUGCGGAAGUUAGGUACAACUUAGUGACAAGUGUGUAUGGGGCUUGGAAUCUAGUGAGAAUCCAUUGGAUAGGAGUACAAAAUGUCGGCCAUGAGCAUGAUCUAGCCAUCCACAUUUCUCUGUGUCAGAGGGGUCAGGACCAUGGAAGAAAAUAUCAAAAUGAUAUAGUAUUGGAGGUUAUAAAAACGAUAUUUGAUGAAAAAAAUAUUAUUCUGACAAAAUUAUUUUAAGGAGUAUCGAUAUAUUUGUGAUUACUGAUAUUUUCAUCUUUGGUCAAAUUAGUUUUUGAAUUCACCCAUGCAUGACAUUUGAGAUUCAGCUUAAAAGUUGGAUCAACCCACCUGAUCACCUAAGCUUAUAGAAUAGUUACAAUGAAAAAAAUAUAGUUAUAUGACAUGGAAACACUUGAGUCUUCAUUGAUUUCCUUUUCAGAUUGAAAACUAUUAGAAAAAUUGAUUCAAUUGUCAUGAAAUUGGUAUCCACAAAACCAAAGAAACACCCUAAAACUAGUCCAAAAUCUUAUCUAACCCACAUAAAUUACAGAAAAUUAUCUUAACAGCAACCAAAUUCCUAAGUCUUUGCACAAAAUCCUAUCCAAGAGAGAUCUUUUAGAUUUCUUAUCCACUCUGGAUUGACUGGUAGAGACUUUUAAACCAAGGUUGUGCCACAAGCUCAUGAACAAAUAAAAUUGGACAAAGAAUUGAAUGAGUGGAUAAACAUCAUUGUCAAUGUUUCUACUUGAGCGAGAAAUACGUUAGAUUUCUACACUUCUAAAUAGUUGCCUUGAGUGAUUCCUUGGUCCCACAGUAUUUGCUUCCCCCUUUCCUCGUGGUUUGGGAAAAGGACAUCCACACGGUUUGGUGUAGGAACCACCCUUUCCUUUGCUAUCCAUGAUUAUUUUUCUUCCCAAUAAUAAGGAAAACAUUCAUCAAGGCCCCAUGUGAAAACUAUUAUUGGUGACUGUAGGAAUAGAGCUAUUCAAUUUUUCCAAUAUACAGGACAUUGGAUGGAUACUGAUAACAAAAAAGAAUUACAUUAAAAUGUAUAAGCGAUGUAUUAUAAUUCAUUUUCUCAUCUAUUUUCAUGUUUUGAUUAUUUUAACGAGAUGGGAUGAAAUUAAAUAUGAUUUUAACAGAAGUGAAACUUGUCUCGUAAAUAGGAUUCCAUGUUGAUUUCAACAGAAGUACGUGGAAGGAUAUCGUAGUUAAUUUAUUUAUUUUUUCAUUUUCAUUUCUAUUAUUUUUAAAUAUUGAAAUAACAACAAAUACUCAUUUCAAAUUUAUAUUCCUAGAUGCAUACAAAUAUAAGAACUGAAGCACCAAAUUCACUCCUAUUCUAAGAGGAAUAAGAACAUUGAUUUUCAUUCCCUACAAUCAAGUACCGAACAUGGCCUAAAACGUAAGGGUUCAUGGGAGAUCCUUCUCGCCUAUCGACCUUCUUCUAUGGUGGCUAGGAACUCACUAUUCAAGGAUGCUUCUGGUUUGCUUGAAGAAGAAGCUGAGCUGGAAAGGUCUCUCCUUACGACAAAAGCUGGUUGUUUAGGAACUGGGAGUGUGGCAGUGUCACUGCUGAGCAUUACAACUGCAACUGCCAUGGUGGGACGGUCACUUGGGUCUUCUUGCACACACAACAGCCCAACAUUCACGCACCUCAGAAAUUCAUUUGUUUUACAUGUUUCACUUAGUGUCUGGUCCAUCAACUCCAACACCCUGUCUUCCUUCCACAGCUUCCAUGCCUGGGAAAGUUUGGACGUACAAGGGUUUCAUGGCAUAUAUAUAGAAUGUCCAAAGGAUCAAUGCAAAUGAGAAAUUCAAAGCACUUACAUGGGCUAGAAGGCUCAGAUUCCGGUCAGACUGAUAAGAUCUGGUGUUCCUCUUCCCGCUGAUGAUCUCAAGUACCACAACACCAAAGCUAAAGACAUCAGACUUUUCUGAGAAAAACCCAUCCAAUNNNNNNNNNNNNNNNNNNNNNNNNNNNNNNNNNNNNNNNNNNNNNNNNNNNNNNNNNNNNNNNNNNNNNNNNNNNNNNNNNNNNNNNNNNNNNNNNNNNNGGAGACAUGUAGCCACUGCAUUGAACCAGUUAAAAACACUACUCAGUUAAUUGGGGAUGCAAUCAUGCAACUACUUGCAUUUUACCAUACACAAUAUGCAGUACUUACUAAGUUCCAACUACUCUGUUUGUGCUUGCUUCUACUUGCUUACUCUCAAAAAUCCUUGCCAAGCCAAAGUCUGAAAUUUUGGGAUUCAUCUCGUCAUCAAGUAGAAUGUUGCUUGUUUUCAAGUCUCUAUGGAUAAUCUUCAAUCUUGAAUCUUGGUGAAGAUAAAGUAGCCCUCGAGCAAUUCCCAAAAUGAUAUCAAAUCGCUUCUCCCAGUUCAGUAACAGGCAUAGAGUUUGAUCUUGCAAUGUUCCCAUUGGAAAGCACGACUUCAGCAUGUACACGUUGUAAUAUGGGAGAAAAAAAAAAGGAACUUUUAGGCAGGUUAGAGGCAAACCAAAUAUGAAGGAGUCUAAGCUUUUGUUGGGCAUGUAUUCAUAGAGUAAAAUCUUCUCAUCUCCUUCAAUACAAUAGCCCAAAAGUCUAACCAAAUUUCGAUGCUGAAGUUUGGCAAUUAACACAACCUCGUUCUUAAAUUCCUGUAAGCCUUGUCCCGAAGCUCUUGAGAGUCUCUUUACUGCAAUUUCUCGCCCUUCAGGAAACUUUCCCUAGAUGCCAUAGCGCAUGGUAUUAGACAGACAAACCAGAAACCUUGAAAUGAGACUAAUGUGGAAAUUAAGGACUAUUACUUUGUAAACUGGCCCAAAGCCCCCCUGUCCAAGCUUAUUUGCAUCUGAAAAGUGAUCUGUAGCAGCCAGUAUGUCUUCUAAGUCGAAAAAUGGUACGUCAAUGCCUUUCUUAUCAUCUUCUUUGAAUUGCUCAGAGUCUAUUAAGUCUUUCACACGGCUCUCGCUAUGAUACAAGUGAAGCCCUGGAUUUGUUCUGUUUUCUGAAUUCAGAAACAAGACUACAUUAUGAAGAAGUCCCCUAAAAAUAUUAUCAAUUCUGCCAAUCAACACGAAACAAAAAAAGACCAGAAGUUAAAUGGUGGCGCAAAUAGCACAAAGAUUACCUUGCCCUUUGGAGAUGGUUCUUUUUCGAAAAUAAGCAAUACAACCAAUGAUGCAUAGAAGUGCAACUACUACAACAGCAGUUACUAUGCCUACCACAACUACCAGAGCCGAGGAUGAUGAUGAUGACUUCUGGUUUGCAGGUGUUGGAGCCUCCGCAAGAUUGCCACCAUCUGAAACAAAGAAAGACCACUCUCAUUCAUGGAGAAGGCAGCGCAUCUGCCAUUACUAAUCACUGUGUCUUUCAAUGCAAUUUAGCAAUAUGCUUGCUGAAAAUCAUCCUCACCUUGUGUACAAUUUAAACUGGAGCUGUUCCAUUUGAAGUUUUGAUUACAAAAACACCUCGUUCUAUUUUGCGUUCUGCAACUCGAAUUUGGCCAGUCCUUGCAGUCUGUUGCUGAGUUACAAACCGGCUCUGGUGGUGGAUCCCAACUUAUUUCAAUUUCAUACUGACCUUUCAUAGGCAUGCUGGAGCUAGAUUUUCCUGUGUCAGCAUUGCACCAGCUAGCUAUCCUGAAAGGUGGAUUGAGCUGCAGUAUCUUCGUGUCUUGUGAAUUUCGUGCUUCGCAGUUAUCAAUAUCAUUCACUUGGAUGAGAAACUUCGAUCUCUCUGGAGUGAUGCUGGUUACUCGGUAGCUGCCAUUAGGUAAGGCGAACCAGACUUGGUCUGUGGCCUUGUCACAUCUGAAACUGAAGUACAUGGGAUCACCACAGUUUGGUCCAGUGCUUAGUGGAUAGGGGAUCAAGUUUGUGCCACAAGUUUCACAAUUUCUUACUGUUGAUUCUGCAGAAUUAGAAUGAAUUUCAUGCUUUUCCUCGUUAACAAUCAAUUAAAUUCAGAAGUAGAAGGGGGCAAGCAGAGAGGAUACCUAUAUCUGAUUUGGCCACACGGAGAGAAAGAUUAUAGCCAUCUGUGUUAUACUCCUGAAGACUACCGAGAUCUUCAGACCAAAUCCAGCACUUGGGAGGGGUGCUAGCACGGCCCCUUCGUAUCUUUCCAACUCCAGCAUAAGCUUGACAGCGACAGGUCUUAAGGCACUCUCUUCUGCAUUCACUUUCAUCCUUACCCAAAAACUCAAUGUCAUACUUUCUUACUUUAAUCAUCUUCAAGAUCAAGAAUGUGUCCCCACAGAGGGUUGUCUUUUUAGAACACCCACCUGAAAAAUCUCCAUUAGUCCAUCUCUCCAGCGAGUUAGGCUCGAAUCCAGGCAAACAUUUGCACAUAAAUGCAUUGUUAACAUUGCAAGAACCGAAAUUCCCACAAGCAUUCAACACACUGCAUCGGUCUUGCGGCGCCCACCAGAAUGCAGACCACUCCUCCGUAUAAUUAUCCCAAACUAGAUAUCUUAUUUCCCCGGUGAAAUUCAUCACCAACCGUGUAUAAGAACUGCGGACAAAUUGAGACCCAGUUGGUUUUUGUGUCUUGCUAAAAUUGGAUAAGAGCUCGGCUGCUGCAGAACUCAUUCCUUCUGAUUCCUCACUUCUCCAAUAUUUAACAAUUGAAUCUUCAAAUAUGAUAUACUGAUCUUUAUCAUCAUCUUUCUUGAAAGUAUAGUUUCCAGGUGCAGGGUCAACGGGGCUGACCCAUGAAGUCAAUGUUAAGUUUCCCUCCAUAAUCAUCCCAGGAAGAAAAGUAUCAGUUGGGUUCUUGAAACUCUCCCAAAGAAUCUUCCCAGAUCUGUUGUCGCUUAAAACAAAGUUCCCAGAAUCCAUGACCUUGGCCACCCUACCCAUAGAAGACGAGCUUCCAAGAUCAGUAAACCAGUAAGCUGCUCCACUUUCAUUCACUAGCUUGAGGUUACCGUCAUCUGCAAUGACAAGAGCUCCAACACUGUCGUCAGGAAGGGGGUUGUCUCUAUUGGCUACCCAUACAACUGUUCUCUCCUUCAACCCGUAGUACCAUAUGCCAAUGUAUUUUCCAUUGUUGAACCCUCCCUUGGGAAUAAAGAAGCCCAAUUCAAAAGUUUGAUUGGCUGAAACAAGAGUUCCUCUACCAUCAUCAAAAAGCAAAUUGUUUGGUGUGAUGGUAUCUCUAGCAGAGCAGCACAGGAUAGAACACAAGAAGAAAAAGAUUGCAGCAGCAUAUGAGUUGCAGAGUCUCUUAACCGCAAUUUCUCGUCCCUCUGGAAACUUGCCCUGGAAGCCACAGUGCAUAUGCAUUGGGCAUAUGUUAGAACUUGGUGACUUGAAUUCUAUUUGGUUCGACUCGAGAAGCUCACGACGCGAUAUAGGUAGUAAAGCUAAAAUUAUGAAUUUUUUUUGGGUCUGUAGUAGUAACAGAGGGAUCGGACCUAUUACUCUUUCAUGUAUAUAUAUGCAUGCAAUGAUGUAUAGUUUUCAGGAUUAUGAUGAUUAUGUUUUUGCUAUAGUCGUUUGUAUCUCAUUCCUCUUGUACUAAUUUUUGACAUAGUAAAAUUUCUUCUCCUCGUGGUCUUUCCUAUCUAGGGUUUUCCACACAAAUCUAUGUGUUCUUAUCCUGUUUUAUUUCUUAUUGCAUAUUCUCAUUUUUUUUGUAACAGCAUAGAUGAUGAGAAAUCAGUUGAAAAUGAGAGGAACAUGGAAGUUAAGAACAAUUACCUUGUAAACUGGCCCAAAACCUCCUUGUCCAAGCUUAUUUGCAUCUAAAAAGUUAUCUGUAGCAGCCAGUAUGUCUUCUAAGUCAAAAAACGGUACAUCAAUGCCUUUCUUAUCCUCUUCUUUGAAUUGCUCUGAGUCUAUUAAGUGUUUCACACGACUCUCACUAUCAUAUAAGUGAAGCACUUGAUUUGCUCUGUUCUCUGAACUCAAAAAAAAAAACAGAAAAUAUUGUAUAGAAGACCCUGAAAUAUUCUCAAUUCAGCCAAGCACAAGUCGAAAAGAAAAGACCAGAAGUUAUAGGCUAGUGCAUAUGGCACAAAGAUUACCUUUCCUUUUGGUGAUGGUUCUUUUGCGCAAACAAGCAAUAUAACCAAUGAUGCCUAAAACCGCAACUAGAACAACAGCAACUGUUAUGCCUACCACAACCACUGGAGAUGACGACGAUGACUUCUGAUCAGCAGGCUUUGUAGGCUCUGCAGGAUUGACACCUGAAACAAAGAAGGAACUGAAUUGAACUUCUCUCACCUACCCAGAAGGCAAAUUUAGUAAGAUACUUGGUGAACAGAAUCCUCACCUUGUGUACAAUUUAAACUUGAGCUAUUCCAUUUGAAGUUUUCAUUGCAAAAGCACCUUCUCGUUCCAUCUCGCGUUCCGCAGGUUGAAUUUGGCCAGUCCUUGCAAUCUGCUGAUGAGGUACACACCGGCUCCAAUGGUGGAUCCCAACUGAUCUCUACUUCAAUACUAUUUUUCAAUGACAUCUCAGAGCCAAAAUUGUCAGUUCCAACCUCUUUGCACACAUCAGUCAAGUGAAAAGGCGGGUUUAGUGGCGGAAUCAGACUUCGUGAACUGCAAUCUGCCUCUUUCAGUUGGAUUACAAAUGUUAAUGUCUCUGGGUUAAUGCUAGUUACUCGGUAGGCACCACCAGGUACCUUGAACUGAACCUGGCCUGUGGUAUUGUUACAUUCAAAAUUGAAGUACGUUGAAUCACCACACUUUGAUCCAGUGCUUAGAGGAUAAGGAAUCAUGUUUGAGCCACAAGUUUCACAAUUCCUUACUGUUGGUUCUGCAAAGACAGUAGAAUCCCAUGUGGGCAUUUCAGUUACAAAUAGUAUGCUUGUUUUUUCAAAGAAAAAUAAAAUAAAAUUGAAAGGGACGUACUUAUAUCUGAAAUAGCCACACGAACGGAGAGGUUGUAGGCAUCAGAGGCAUACUCCUCCUGAAGACCAGUAAGGUCAUCCGUCCAAAUCAAGCAUUCUAGGGCAUCAGGAACAUCUCUUCCUUGUUUGAUAUAAGUUUCAGCAUAAGCUUGACAUUGGCAUUUUUUAAGGCAAGCCUUUCUGCAAUAGUCACUAUCAUUCGGAUCUGCUGGAAUCACAGAGUCUCGCUUUCUCACUUUCAUCAUCUUAAAGCUCAGGAACAUGUCUUCACUGGAAUUCUUCUCGCAUAUGGGAGACUUUCUGGUACACCCACUUGAAAACUCUCCAGUUUUCCAAAUAUCCGGCGAGACGGGUUUGAAACCAGGUAAACAUUUGCACAUCAAAGCAUUGUUAGUGUUACAACUUCCGAAUUUCCCACAAGCUUUUGACACACUGCAUCGAUCUUGCGGUGCCCACCAGUCUGGAGAUGAUGUAUUCGGAUUCAGAUAGUACCGUAUUUCCCCUGAAGAGCUCAUCACCAACCGACUGGUAUUCUUAUACUUGGAGGACAGUAUUUCAAGGGGUCUAUUGUAGAAUUUUCUAGAGCUGGUUGGCUUACCGGUCUUGCUGAAGUUGGAUAACAAGCUGAGUAUUGCAUCUGGCAUUUCAUCAGGCGUUCCUUUCGAGUCCUCACUGCUCCAAUAUGAGACAAAUGAAUCAUGUAUGUUAUACUGAUCCUUAUUGUCUUGAUCUAGCUGGAAAGUAAAGUUUCCAGGUGUCGGGUCAACAGAACUCAGCCAUGAAGUCAGUGUUAAGUUUUCAUCCAUCUUCAUCCCAGGAAGAAAAGUAUCUGUAGGAUUAUGGAAGCUCUCCCAAAGAAUCACCCCUGAUCUGUUGUCACUCAAAACAAGGUUCCCAGAGUCCAUGAGCUUCACCACCCUCCCUGUAGAUGAAGAAGAUGUUUCAAUAUCAGAAGACCAGUGAACUGUCCCAUUUGCAUCCAAUACCUUGAGCUCACC